UCUUUUUUUUUUUUUUUGCUGUUUUCUGGGGGUGAAAAGUACCGGGAUAAGGAUAAUGAUGCUGAUGCCAUUUUAUAUUUUUAUAAAUAGAAAGAAGACGGGAGUUCUGUAGUGUGUGAUGGUAUAUAUUCUUGCAAACAUUUGAGCACGUAUUCCGCACCUUAGAGCCACUCCAAGAAUCUAAAAAAAAAUCUCUCCCAAAAUUAUCUGUUGGAGGUUUUAUUAAAAAUUUAUUCUCCCAAAAUUCUGUCAUCCCACAGCAGAUUUCCAAUAAUUAACUCUUCCAUACUUGAAAACUGGCCACACAGCAUGUGGAUCCCUCUGUUAGGCACCAGCAGCUCCCCCCUCCGACCUUUCCUGCAUCGGCCUAGGCGCGAUCAGCAGCAGACACCGACAGUAGCAGCCGCAGCCGCAGUAGCGCUGCCGCCAGUGCCAUCGUUGCCAAGCAGUAGCCACGACGAGGACGGCAAUGGGGGCGAGGGUGCCGACAUCCAUCUGCUGACCCCCGACCCACCGACGCCGACGCCACUACCCCCCGCGCGCACGGGCUCCGCCGCGUCCUGGGACAUCAGGAGCCACCGCUCCUACUCCUCCGAGGAGUAGUACAUGGCGAUGAACCGUGAGUUUACCACCAUGGUCGCUGUCGGGGCGACCAUGCAGACCGGCCCCAACGCCAACAGCGGCAGCGGGUACGACAACAGCGCCGUCGACAAGCUCACCAGCAUUGGCGAGGACGAGCUGAAGGAGACCAAAUCGCUGGCCAUCGUGCCAGACAGCCACCCCAUCGCGACGCCGGCCACGUCCAAGGCGUCCGGGCUGGAGGUGGUGCCCGCGGGGCCGCCGCCCCCGCCGCCGGCGCACGUGGAGGCCAGCCAAGUGAAGAAGGAGAAGGUAGAGACCAAGGUCACGGCGUGGCAGACGUUGGAGGUGGCCAAGAUCAACAACCGCUUCGAGCGGGAGGAGGUGGUCAUCAACAGAUGGGAGACCGAGCAGGUGGGCGAUUGGGGAAGGAUCGGACUCGCGCAUAUAUGCGGGGCGACGGAGGUAUUUUUUGCGUCCGCGUAUUUUUACGGAAAGGAUGGGGAAGCUAUUGGAGGUAAGUUUUUUUUGUUUUUCCCUAAAUAAGAUUUUGGGAUAAUUUUAAGGGAGUUUUUGGAGUUGCUCUUAGAGCAACUCCAAGAGACUGCUAAUCUUACCCCAAUAUCUUUUUUAGGAAAAAAGAGAGAAAAAAUGAACUCCAACAAUCCACCUAAACCUUCCCCAAUUUUUUAGCGACGCUAAAAAACAGCCUGCCACCACGUAUAUUUUAGCGUUGGCGUUCCUCCCCCAAUUCUGAUUCCCGCACGCCCGCCCGUCCCUUCCGAUGAGCCCAAUACGAUGACGUGGCCUGUGUUUGAAAUAUUAGGGACUAUUUAUUAGCGAUCUGCUGUGGACUGAUAUGUUUUUGGGGGAAAUUUUUUUUGGGAGAACCCCCAAUACAUAGUUUUGGGGAAGAAUUUUUUAGGAUACUCUUGGAGUUGCUCUUAGGGUGUGUUUGGUUGAGUUGUGGUUUUUGGAAAAACUGCUGUGAGCUGGGCUGUAAAAAAGCAGCUGUGAUAAAACAGUUGUGGGACAAGUAGAAGACCGUUUGGUUAGACCAACUGUGAAAUUGUAGGCUGUGUAACAAAUAUUUGUGUGUUUAUAUGCAAAUUACUCGUAACAAAAUAAUGUGUUCACUGAUUCGCAUGUAAAUGACUAUUUUAGAAAGAAAAAAAAUUAUAUGUUCUUCGUCCAUUAAAGGGAUUGGUUCACAUAAAUAGAACAAUAUCCAUCAAAAAUUCAGUAUAAUAAUGUCAUCAAACAUUACUGUCCUCUCGCACUAAUCAAAGCAUCACGAGUUACUCGUAGUCCUUUUUAUCCUCCUUUAGCUACAUCUCCCAAUUAACAUCGAAGGAAAAUCGCAAGCAACAAUCACCAGCAGUCAACAUCAAGACACCCUCGUCCAAGCAAGCUAGAGUGCAAUUAAGAUCGAAGGUCAGUUUCAGAAGUCAACUCAUCCAUGGCAUCAAACUCAAAUCGAACUGUUUAGAAUUCAGAUCCCGACAGGGCAAGAACUAUGCCUGUCUCUGUGAUUGUUGUUUUCUUACAUCAUCCAACAAAUAAUCCAAUGGCACUGAUACAUCGACAGCAGCAGCACCAAUUGUAGUGACAAGCAGCAGCUAGCAGCGACGCGUGAUCAGCGUAAUGCUGGCCGAAGAAGAGGACACGAUGAUGCAUCACGGGGUCAGGAAGGAUUCAGGAUGCCGCGACGGCGGCGGCAGCCUCGCAGUCGAAGCCACAGCGGCAGCGGGGGCUCACGGAGAACUUGGCAAGUGGGAACGAGGCCGAGAGAGGGCCGACGCGGAAGCUUAGCUGGUCGCCGGCGUGGUCGACCUCCGUGAUGCCGAGCCACACGAACAACACCUUCACGUUGACGCCCCGCAGCUCCCAGAUCGACCCCGCGUGCGCGUUCCCGACGAUACGCGUUCACACCAGAGCUGGUACCGGUCGCCGACGCGGAACUCGCAGCCGGCGCUGCUUCCGGAGAAGAACACCUCGAAGGAGCCGUCGGGAUGGAGCAUGUACCGUCGCAACAGCAGCGAGGAAGAAGAGGAGGUGGACGAGGUGGUGGUGGUUCUUGGCCAUAGCUACUGCUUCUUAGUCAAUCUCUUAGCUGGUGAGAUUCGGUGUCAUUGAGUUGCCGCCCGCGGCGAUCGGUGGCUGGCGGCAGUCUGCGUGCGACAGGCGGAGAGCGGCAGCCGUCCAUAGGUGGGCUGCGGUGGCUGUCCGGGGGCGGCAGCGGGCGUCCAGGGGUAGGGGGCCGGCGGGCAGGGGCGGCGGACCGCCUGGAGCACGCGGAGGAUGGGAAAGGUCCUGUGGGGGACGGGGGAGGAGCCGGACUGUUCAUUUUCGUGUGCGGGAGAGAAAUAGAUCGGGAGAAAACGAAAUUAUACAUCAUAACAGGUGGUAGGUGGGUAAUUCUUUACCCCAAAAGUACUUGAAAGGAGGGGGAAGAUGUGCUUUUGGGUUUGUACUACCAUGAAAGUUACUUUUGGGCAAAAGCAUUAGGAACCUUUUGGUUGACUUUUAGCUUUUGCAAAAGCAAAACCAGGUUGGAAAGUCCAACGAAAGGCACUCUUAGUUGCCGACUAUGCGAAAUCCCCAAAAUAAGGAACCGACUGCAACUAGUUAUUGAAAGGCAAAAUAGAGAUUGUGGUCUUUAAACUUUGCACCGGGGUCAAGUUCGUCUCUCAUCUUUGAGAUUGACCAUUUUAAUCCUCCAACUUCUGUUUUUAGUCAAACUCAUUCUUAUGUUGACGUGAUGUUUUAAAUUAGCAUGAGACUAAUGCUAAAAGUCACUUUUGUCCUUGGCUCUUGUAGAUCAAACAUUUAUGUGCUUCAUACUCUGUAUUAAAUAACAAUGCACGUGCGACACGCACGUGCUACAGGACGUGCGACAACUUGGGUAUCGCUGUUCUGUCUUCGGUAACCCUCCUACCUUCGAAUUUCGGAUACCAUUCUUCUCAGCACCUUCACCACUAAAAAACAAAACAAGGCAGGUUGAAUCUGUCAACUGAUACAGCCUUCCCCAUCUUGUGAAUUUAGGGUAUGACAUAAUAAACCAUUUAUCAACAUCGUCCUGAUACUCUUGGGCUCCUGGCUGAUUGCUUCUUUCAAAGCGUGCAACAGAUGUUAUUAGGGUAUAACUUACAAUGUAAAACAAAUUAUUUAUUUUUCUUCAUAGGUUUUCUUCACAAACUUAAAAUCCUUUUAUAGUCAUACCAACUAAUGAUGAAAGCAGAACCUGCAGCUAACCAAUUUGUUUUAACAGAUGUUGCUAUCAUGUUCAAGCAAGAGCACACAUAUUUACAAGACAAUGAAUUGGAUGUAGAGAUCAGCCAUGAAAGCAUAUGUGCGAGUAAACUUACGUUGCAAACAACAAGCGUAACAAUGUCCCUGCCUACAUGCAAAUGACAAAAGAUAAUAAAGCAUCACAAAGCUAAUAUUCCUACAACACCUUUUGCAAUAUGUAUAGGGAUAGAUCCCCAAUACCCACAAGAAAGGAAAAAGAUAGACUCCUACUACGAUUUUCAUGUAAUCCUACUAGAACUCAUAUCAUGUAAUCCUACUAGGACUCUUACCUUGUAACCGACUAUAAUCCCGCCUCCUGAAGUAUAUAAAGGAGAGCAGAUGUACCUAGAUUGGCAGAUAGAGAACCACAACAUAGGAUCAAAUUCUCGAUACAAGACAACAUUCAAGCGCAGGACGCAAUAUACAAUACCCUAAACAAGACAUUCAAGCGCAGGGCGCAAUAUACAAUACCCCAAACAGGACGUAGGGUAUUACACUACUCUGGCGGCCCAAACAUUUAUAAAUUCAUGUCUUGUGUCCUCACUUUUACCAUCAAGUUUUAGGUCCGACGAUCCCCCACCGACCAAUCUACUACCUCAUGAUACCCCUCGGUAGGUUGCCGGAUAUAAAACACCGACUGACGCGUCAGGUAGGGUUGAUCGUCGAGAUCAUCGGGCGAGCUUGAAGGACAUCAUCAAGAUCAAUAUGCUCUACAAGACAAGAACGUUGUUCUACCAUCCAAUCGACGACUCGGUGUGCAACUGCGUAGGAGUCCGAGGUGAAGUCGCCGGAUAGGCUAAUUCCGAGGUAGCAUCUGUUCUCGCCGAAUUGGAAUUCGAAAUGGAGUGCAGGAGUGGAGCAAUUCACCUGCCGCUGAUCGUCUCCAAGCAUCAAGAUCGAGAUGGAAUAGAAUUGGACGGCGUCAAGACGGAAUCCUACAGGUUCCUUAGUCAAGUUCGAAGUGGAGACCAGCUUUGUUGAUAGGAGACGGAAAAGCCGUUGUCCCCUCUGACGCUGGAAAUCAAUGGUGUAUUCAGCUAUGUGCACACCAAAAAAGCUACUAGAAAGACUUCAACUUGCAUAGCAACACCAACAAAUCUCAGACAAUGCGAUCGACUACUUCUGCGAGAGCAAGACAUCUACGCCGGCUCACUAACGACUACUUCAACUACUGGUCUCGACUAGAAAAAUAGUCGAGGACGGGCCUCGUACCGUCGACAACUAGUCAGAAUCAACUCCGACUAGUCGACUUCAUCAACAACCAUCACGGCUUCAUCAAUAAUCGUCCAUUAAUCAAGCUAAGUCACUUUAUUAAUAACUAUUUUUCUCUAGCUUGUUUUUAGCAUAACUGGUGAAUGCGUCGACUAUUUAUUUGUGUACGCCUCUUGACGGGAAUUACCCUUCAGAGCUACACUUCACCGAUUACACUUGGGGCAUGUUGACCGACAACCAUGGGCUUGUACACCGAAUUACGGAAGCUAUCGCCAUGGGUUUGGUGCACUGAGUUCCGAAAGCUCCGUCAUAGGCUUGGUACACCGAAUUAGGAGGCUCUGCCACAAAUUUUGGUGCACCAAGUAUUGGAGGCUCACAACGGCUACACCCUAGUGAGGCACAAAUCUUAUACGCGGCAACACGCGCUAUUCUCGCCAGAAGGCAGAGAAGUCUCAAAGACUACUUUACGUGCAAUCGCACAGUUUUUUUAUCGCAAUGUCAACUACUUAUUUUCAUUGUCUUCUCUUAGUGGUAACUAAUAUCCUCGAGCAGAACAUGUCUUGAUCUGUGAAAGUUUUGGAUAACGCUAGGAUGCGAGACAAAGAUCUCCGUAGUAGCAGUGCAAGUACGUGUACACGAGGCAAAGAUCUCACACGCAGUAGUAAUGGCUAAACAGGGACGGAGAGCCUAAACGUAAUAGGCUAACUACUCGGGAAAAAUAUGUUGGAAACAAGAACAUGACACACAACAUUUACAUUAUAUUCAUCACUAAAUAAAUUUCAGUAGUUUCAAUAUUCUACAAUAUGCUACAUAAUGUAUGCAUCUUUUUUUCAGAUCAAAUUUUGACGACGACUCUCCAGGACGCUCAGCGUACCUCCAGCGGCUCAGCUAGUUCCCAAACUCAGGGGCUAAGCACCAAUUACUACUCGGAAUACCUCCGGUAGCUCCGCUAGCUCUCAAGCUCGGAGGCUAAGCGCCAACAACUACUCGACGUGGCUCAUACGGCUCACCUGGCUCGUAAGCUCGGGGGCUGGGCGCCGCAAAACUACUCUCUAGACUCUUUGAUUGAUUAUUUAAUCAUUCCAAGGCUCGGGGGUUGAUAACCUACACCUAACAGUUGAUUUUUUCAAGACAUAGAAAGAAGAUUCAAGAUUUUAUUGACCCUCAACCUGAUUUUUCGAUUCAACAUAAGGCUCAGGGGCUACUCCAUAUGGAGUGCGACUUUCGCCGCUCUUCAUAUCAUAAUGAAAAUUACAAAAUCAAGCCGAUCAAGGGCUUGAGCAUACCAUAGCCUCAUGGCAUCUUUAAGGAGCUUUGAAGAUUCAGCCAGACAAAGUACUCAAGGAGCACUACAACUACUCAACGAGGAUCUAAAAAGUACUCGAAGACUGCUACAUUCGACUAUUAAGUACUCGGGGGCUUGUCGAGGAUAGAUACCCAGUACCCGCAAGGAAGGAAGAAGACAGACUUCUAAUAGGAUUCCCCUGUAAUCCUACUAGGACUCAUAUCAUGUAAUCCUACUAGCACUCUUACCUUGUAACCGACUAUAAUCCCGUCCCCUGGAGUAUAUAAAGGAGAGCAGGGGCAUCUAGAUCAGCAGAUAGAGAACCACAACAGAAGACCAAAUCCUCGAUACCAAACAACACUCAAGCGCAAGGCACAAUAUACAACAUCCCAAACAGGACGUAGGGUAUUACGCUACUCUGACGGCUCGAACCUAUAUAAAUCUGUGUUUUAUGUCCUCGUUUUUACCAUCAAGUUUCAGGUCCGGUGAUCCCCCACCGACCAAUCUACUACCUCAGGAUACCCUCGGUAGGUUACCGGCUAUAAAACACCGACAGUAUGGUCAUGCAUCUAUCUUUUUUCUCUUUUAUUUUUUUGAUAAAUUUGACGUGUAUAAAAGGGGCUCCAUGAUUUUACCCAAACAGCUAGGUUACAAGUAAAAUAAAUUGCAGAGAUUCAGGGCAUUAAGGUCUUGCAGUGGCUAAAUGCUGAUGACAACUACAGCUGAUUGACAUGGAAAAUAUAUUUUUUCAGAGAUGAAAGUACUGUAGGAAUUUUGACAACGGCAGGUAAAUCAAUUUCAUCCACCGCUGAACUGCAAGUGGUUCUGAUUCAGUUUCUGUUGAGCCUAGCUCCAAACAAACAAGACAACCAAAUGUAAAGAUCUGAACGAAGUACGUCGGUGCUGGAGCUAGUGGUGAGCACAUACUACGUGGAGAAGUUAUUAUCUCCAUUCUACGAACAAGUAGUAGUCUAUAUGCCAAGGUCUGAAGGUUGGUCUUGUGGCUAAUUUUUUUUAUACCCUAGUUCCAUCAUAUUUGUGGUCGACUCUUACUCAAACUGCCAUGCCGAACAAGUAGAGGUCUAUAUGCUAAGGUCUGAAGGUUUGUCUUUUGCCUAAUUUCUUUUUAUCCUUAAUUCCAUCAUAUUUGUGGUUGACUCUUCCUCAAACUGCCAUGCUCAAAGUUAUUGCCCUUGGAAAAUACUGAUUAUUGAACUUUCUAAAUGAAAAAUGAAAAAAAAAUCUCCCGCCUCUUUUUGACAGGAACUUAUGGCAAGUUUGCAAGGGGCCAUCAUUAUAGUAACAAAAAUCAGUAGCACAGAAUGUUCAUUUGAAAGGAGUUUAUCAGAUGGCCUAAAGGUAUUACCAAAUCAGCAUUCAGUUGCACUUAAUUCCAACAGUGUUUAUAAUUUUAGUUUUCUGAAAAAACUGAUAAUUGUGCACGCAUAUGAACUUGAGAACAGAUUGGUAGGUCCCUUUAAAGCUCAAUAACCAAAAUUUUAGAUAGAAGUUGGCAACUUGAAUUAAGUCUCGUCUAUGGUAAGACAAAAAUCCUUCCCAGAUUAUGGGCCACGGAAGGGGUUUACGGAUAACACAUCACGAGCAAUACCCUGAAAUCUAUGCGCAAAUCGACCUAAAUGAGGGUCAAACAUAACUGUACACCUCAAAUAAAAUCGAAUAACAUGUUUCAAGAUGCUCUAAAAUCAGUAAGCCUACUAAUUCAGUUGAGUCAGGGGGUGUUUGUUUUUAGUCACUCCUAAAAUUCCUGUCACAUCGAAUGUUUAGAUAUUAAUUAGGAGUAUUAAAUAUAGACUAAUUAUAAAACUAAUUGCACAGAUGGAGAUUAAUUUGCGAGACGAAUCUAUUAAGUCUAAUUAGUCCAUGAUUUGAUAAUGUGAUGCUACAGUAAAUAUGUGCUAAUGAUGGAUUAAUUAGGCUUAAUAGAUUCAUCUCGUGAAUUAUCCUCCAUCUGUGUAAUUAGUUUUAUAAUGAGCUCAUAUUUAGUCCUCCUAAUUAGCCUUUAAAUAUUCGAUGUGACAUAAAUUUUAGUCCGGACUAAAAUCAAAAAAACCCCUCAUGUACCCAUCCAUGACCCAGUUCCGCGUACAGGGAAGGAAGAUGAAGGGCAGGGGAACGAACUGACCCUGCAAUUGCCUUUGGCGGCAUUGUGGAAGGACCGAAGGAGUAGGUGGAGCCGGGCUGGUAGAAGGGGAGGUAGCGCUCGGCCAGGGCGAGGUACUCGCUCACGGAUUGAUCCCACUGGUCAUUGGUCGGUGCGUCGGAGGCAUCGGCGACCCAGGUGGCGAGGGAGAAGCGGGUGGGGACUGGGGAACGAUGUGGCUCUGACGAACACCGCGCCCCCGUCGGCCGACUCUGCAUUGGGGUCCUCCAUCGCCACCAAGAGCUUCACGCAGCUGUACCUCAGGGCCGUCGCCGGCGCGCCGCCAUGGUCGUUGUCGCCGAGACCAGAGACGGGAGGCGGCUGGUCGGGCACUGAUUAGCCAUUGGAGAUGACAGCGCCGGCGCACGGGAGGGCUCAGAGGACGUGUUCCGGCAAGAGGAGGUGAUUUCAGGGGCGACAAGAUUGACGCCUCGAUCCGCCCACCUCCGCUCGUCCCUCUCACCGUCUCAUGCGCGUGAUUCGCGGGCGGCGAGGGACGCGGUACCUCCUGCACACUGACCCGGCGCACCAACACAUCAUGCCAGAGGCAGACACCACCACAGCCACCAUGCGCCCGCCCCACCGGCCGCCGCCCAGCUCGCCCCUUCUCCCUAUGCCUAAGCGGCAUUCGCGUCGCCGGCGCCGGCUCCAGGACCCGCGCCGGAACCCUCCGCGGCAGCGGCGAGGGCGGUCCCGGGCGGCGAGGCGACAGGAGCCUGAGCCCCCCCGCUCAUCGCGGUGGUGGGCGCCGCACUGCUGGGGGGUGAUGUACACGCGGUACCUGGCGGCGGCACGGGGCUCGGUGGCGGUCGCCGGUGUGUGGGGGUGGGGGGGAUAAAAGGGAAUUUAUAGGCACGGCGGACGGGUUCAACGGCGGGUAUGAAAAGGUGCUGUGAAAAAAACAUUAGCUUUUUUGCAGAAACAUUUUCCAACUCGUUUUAUGGGUGCACCUUAUCCUCUCCUUCAAAUAUAUAACAGGUAGGUCCGACGUGAGGGGUACGGUGACCCCGAUUUGGGUGAGAAAGGUUUUCAAUUAUUUUCGAUAUUUAUAGUAUAGAUACACACAAUAGUAUAUUUUUUUAACUAACACAAAAUAAUAUGAUUUCUAGUCAUACUAAGUCAUACAUGUGCUUAUACGAAUUUGAUAUGCAAAAUGUAUGUAAUCAAACAAGUAUGUACUCAUAUUAUUUUGGUAUAUAUAUAAUUCAAUGUAUGUACGCAUGCUUUAAAAUUGAAAUUGACAUGUGCUCACAUGCUUAUGGCACAAUAUACAUGCUCCACAUAUAUAUUCAUACUCUCUCGAUAAAUACAUAUAUGCUCAUAUUUAAUUUGGAUCAUACUGUUAUUACUUCUAACGGUGGAAAUUAAAGAGGGAAAGAAAGAGACAAGGAUAUAAAAGACUUUUCGCACCAAUUUCAUGCUAAUAUGAAGCUCCAUAUGAGCACAAAGGACGAGUUUGUUCAAAAAAUAAAAGUUAAGAAAUUAGAUGGGUUAAUAUAGAAGUUGAGGGACGAACUUGACCAUUAAUCUUAUUGAAAUUGAGAACGUUGGCUAUCCAAAAUUUGAAUUGGCCCGAAAAAUGCUAGAAUUUGGCGUGCUGGAUAACGUUUGGUUAUCUUCACCGGGCAGCGGCAGGAGCGGGGCCGUUGGUGCCAGCCCGCAUGACUGUGACGCCACACGCCAGCACGUUGAAGCACCCCCGCCGCGCGCCGCGCCCUGAGCCCGUGAACCGAGCCGAGCGCUCCUUCAUCAGUUUCGUCCAACGGCCUGCGAGCGGCGGGCGCGAGCACGAAUCGCACACCUUGAUCAGCUUGGUGCGGGGCUGCUGGGAGAAUUCACGAUGGUUGGAGCUUCCGAAAACGCAGAGCCAGAUAGGCACGCAGGCACGUUAUCCAUUAUCCAAACUGUUUUUUUUGGCUGGCAGCGGAGAUUAGCGAGUCAAUGGGCGCCAGCCAAGCUACAGACGAAAUGUGCGGCCCUAGGGUAGGGCAAACGAGAUAGAUGAGCGUCUCCAGCGUGCUUUCAGCAGCACAUCGGUUUCGAGCCAGGCAGUCUUCCGGCAUGAUGCACGGCUGUCCUCCACUGCUAAACACAACGAAAUAGAACGAGAGAAAUACUUACCCCGUUUUCUUCCACUGACUUAUUUUUAGCACCCGUCACAUCGAAUGUUUAGAUACUAAUUAGGAGUAUUAAACGUAGACUAUUUACAAAACUCAUUACAUAAGACGAAUCUAAACGGCGAGACGAAUCUAUUAAGCCUAAUUAGUCCAUGAUUUGACAAUGUGUUGCUACAGUAAAUAUUUGCUAAUGAUGAAUUAAUUAUGCUUAAUUAGGCUUAAUAGAUUCGUCUUGCCGUUUAGAUUCGUCUUAUGUAAUGGGUUUUGUAAAUAGUCUACGUUUAAUACUCCUAAUUAGUAUCUAAACAUUCGAUGUGACACGUGCUAAAAAUAAGUCAGUGGAAGAAAACGCCCCCCUAGAAUUUUUUUUUUGGGCCAACGGUCCAAUUGUCCAAAUCACCACCAGAUUGAAAUAAAAGGAAAAAUCCUUUCAAGCUCUCUCAUCUAUGGCCGUAGUCUAAGUUUCAUCGUUCAUAUACAAAAUUGGGUAUCGGUCGUCCCUCAAGUUUUAAAACUGUUUGUUUUGGUCCCUCAGCUGUUUUGAAGAUGGUUUUCACACGAUGUGUUGCUGGAUCCCACAUGCCAGACAACAUGUGGUGAUGGGCCCACCCGUAAUGUGUUCUCUCUCUUCCUUAUAUCUUCCUCCCCUCCCGUGUACUUCCUGCUCCUUCCGCUAGGACACCCACGCCGGCAGUCUCCUCCCGGGCCGUCCACUUUGCCAAGUCACUGGACCACCCCGCCAGCCAUCUUCUACCACCUUGCCGACCCCAAAUUGACCAUGAGCACUCGUACAGGCUCAGCGCUGGCAUGACCGUACUAGCUUGGAAGGUAACCUCGGGUCCCUAGCCAGCCGUGUGGACAACGACCACAACCUCCUCACCUCGCCCGGCAAGAGCGCGCCGUGGCCAUGCCCGAUGCCGUUUGAGCACGGUGCCCACACACCGGCCUCCGAUUCAUCAUCCCCACCUCGAAUUCAACAUCCUUCAUCCUCCCCGCCUCUGAUUCGUCAUCCUCCGUAGCCUCAGACCUUGUUGCUUGCCCGCACCACCGCUACCCAUGCCUCGCCACAUCUGAACGCCUCGCCGCUUGCUCACUGUAGCCAUGUGCUUCUCAUGCUCGCACUUGCAUGUCGUCGCUGUCGCUAAGGAGGUUGGAGGCCUCGAUGUUGGGCAGCGCUACCGCUAUGGAGUGCCUAGGCACCACCGUAUCGGGGGCCGCUCAAGGGAGGAUAGAGGGAGGAGGAUGAAGAGAGAGGGGGAGGAAGAGAGGGAAGGAAGACCCACCACCACUUGUUGCCUAACAUGUGGAUCAAGCGCCACAUUAUGCGAAACCACCCUCAAAACAGCUAAGGGACAAAAACAAACGGUUUAGAAGUUGAGGGAUGACCGAUAUCUAGUUUUGCAUGCAAGGGAUGAAACUCGGACAAUAGCAAUAGACGUGGGACCUUGAAAGGACUUUUUUCCAAAAUAAAAAAGACACAACGCGUAAUUUGGGCCAACGGUCACAGGCCGUGGGCUAACAUCCUCUUCGGCCUGCUGCAGCCCACCAAAAUCAUAUAAUCCGCCGCAAGCCCGCGAGCUCCAUCAUCUACGGUCUACCGUCUACCCCUGUCCGGCCCACGUAUCCGCCUCUUCUUCCUCCAACCGCGACGUCCCCCCGAUCCAACCCUAACCCCUCCGUCCUCCACUCCUCCGCCCUCCGCAUCGCCACUUCGCACGCAGGCGCCGAACCCCCACCGCCUCCUUGCCGGUGCCUCCUCCCCCUACCUCCCCUCCCGGCUUGCGACUCCUCCCAUCGGCGGCUCUCCGGUGCGUGCCCCUCAUCCUCCCCCUUACCUGUACACGCCUCCUCCCACUUCUCGGGCGUUAAUUUCACCUUCCACGCUCGCUCCCUCUCUCUCUCUUCGCUUAGGGCUUCGCGUUGGUCGCGCGGGAUACGACUCCUACGUCGCGCGCAAUGGAGCAACACCAGACCGUUGCUGCCGGUGUCGAUUCCGGUAGCGCGGAGCCUGGUGCCGCAGCUUUCGAUUUGACGACCGCCAAUCCUGAGGCGAACGCGUACGGUCAUAAUCCACCGGCUGUCACCGGUGGGAGCGCCGUGACCCCUGACGGUGGAGCCCAGGCAGCUGAUGGCUCUGCCUACCCGGCCGAGCACGCGGCGUUGAAUGGGACGGCUGGCGAGAUGGCUAAUUACCAAUCUACAGAGAACGGCGCCGCAGUCACCAACGAGAUGGGCGAGCCGGUUCCAGAGCCAUCCUACGAAGAAGGUAAUGUUGAGCUUGCAAGCUCCCAUGAUUUUGAAUGUUGGGCAUGCACGCUUCCCUAAUUUAGUAUCCUACCUGCAGUUUGCUCUUAACGUGUUGUUUACCUUUUGCAGCUGCGGUUUCAGCAGAAGAGGCUAGGUUGUGGAGUGUUGUUACUGCAAAUUCCUUAGAUUUCAAUGCUUGGACCACACUUAUUGAUGAAACAGAGAAGAAUGCUGAGGUAAUGCUGGCUUGCUGAUUGUCCGUAAACCAUUCUUGACACUUUGGCUGUGGAGCUUGCUGUAUCUGCAUGUGUAGAGGAGCCAAUUUGUAAUUUUUACAACAGCUUGUGAAUUAUGCUAUUUCUUAAUUUCUUAAUUUGUAGAACAUGAGUUCCUGCAAUUAUUUCCUUGUGGCGGAUUUGUGGCAUAUUGUAAUUUUAUGCAUUUAUUUGGUAUAUGUUCAGCUGUAUCCUUGUUUCUCGUACAACGAGUUUACAAUCUUUAGUAAUUGCCUCUUCCUGCUACCCUGAUUGUAUAGUUUGUGAUCCUUGUGUUUCCUUCAGUUAAUUUGAACUUCGAACUGCAUGAUGUCCCUGAUACUUUUGGUCUAUCAUAGUUUUGUGUGUCUUUGUUGUUUCAAUAAAGUGCACUUGAUGUAACUUUAAUCUGAAUAAUCAGUCAUCAUAAAAUGGUAUUCUUUAUAUAUUUAUAUAAUGCAUGUUUUUAUAUAUUUUCAUCCAGAGCAAUAUUUUGAAGAUACGGAAAGUGUAUGAUGCAUUUCUUGCGGAGUUCCCUCUUUGCUUUGGUUAUUGGAAGAAAUAUGCAGAUCAUGAAGGUAGACUUGAUGGUGCCAACAAAGUUAUAGAGGUGUAUGAACGAGCGGUUCUUGCAGUUACUUAUUCAGUGGACAUUUGGUAUAACUACUGUCAGUUCGCAAUUUCAACAUAUGAUGACCCAGAGAUCAUCAGAAGGUACCAAUCCUACACAACGUUCAUAUUCUGAUGAAGUUUAUGUGCCUAGAAUCUCUGUCUCCUGGUUUAAUUUUCAAUGACUGGGGGUUUGGAUUUUUUUAGUAUUUAGGCAUUCCUGAUUAAGCUCUUUAGAAUAUGUUAGAGCCCUAGUUGUCCAAUCUGCGAGGCAGCAAUUUCCAUCUGCAAAUAUGAUAUAUUCAAAUUUCAUAUAUGUUAUCAGAGUGAUAUGUUUGUCUCUGAGUUGUAAUGGGCCUAUGGUCAAUAGCCUAGUACUAUACCUGCCUCUUAUUACUAAAUAUAAACUUUUUAUUCACCUUCUGUGGACUUAAAAUCUCUAUGCAAGCCAUUUCUUUUGAGCAAAUGUUAUUUUAUACUUCAUCAUUAGCUAAAUAGUUAUAUUUGACAUAAUAGCAUGCUUAUUUCAUGAAACAAUACUCUAGACCCGUCGUACUGCAUAUGGUCAUACUAGGUAUUUCGAAAAUUUUUAUGUCAAGAAUAAUGGUCCUUCCUAGACGUAAGUAGCUACUAGCGUUUGCACAUUCCAGUCAUCAUUCAUUGUGUUUGAUGUACUUCUUUUUAUCUCACUCGUUCCAUUUUCGAAUUAGCAACUUUGCUUACCUUUCAGUAACUUUACCCACCUUUUGUUUUUACAGACUGUUUGAAAGAGGUUUGGCGUACGUUGGAACAGAUUAUCGAUCCAAUAUUUUGUGGGAUGAGUAUGUUAAGUAUGAAGAAUCACUGCAGGCAUGGAGUCAUCUAGCUGUGAUAUAUACAAGAAUAUUAGAGCAUCCCAUACAGCAGCUUGAUCGGUACUUUAAUUGGUAAGUCAUUUGCAUUAAUUCUGUUAUUUAUAUGGAAGUUUGGAAGUGAAGCUUUCUUUUGUGCCUGUUAUUUAUCUGCAGCAUAAUAAAUGUUAGCUUUAUUGGCUGAUAAGUGGAUCAAGGCAACAUAUUAUUGACAACACUCUGCCAUGUAUGAAUUGAAAUAAAACACAUACUCCACCAUACCGUUUCCUCAUUUCAUAACCGUGCUUUUAAUUGCGCUUGAUAUUUUAAGUACUUGAAUUGUGAUAAUGAUAUAUAAUCUCAUUUAUGAAAAUACAACUAUGUAAAAAUUCUUGUUUUACUAACUGUUAUUUUUACACAGCCUCAAGGAAUUGGCUUCAACACGGGAUCUUUCGGAGAUACUGACUGCGGAGGAAGCUUCUGUGUAUGGUGUUGCUUCUGAGAAUAGUGCUCAGGUUCUUGAUGGUGAGACACAUCCUGAUGAUCCUGAUAAAUCCAGCAAACCUGAAGCAGAGAACCUUGCAAAGUAUGUCUCCAUGAGAGAAGAGAUGUACAAGAAGGCCAAAGAGUAUGAAUCUAAGAUUAUUGGUUUUGAGCUAGCUAUUAGAAGACCAUAUUUUCACGUCAAGCCUCUUGACAAUCCAGAGCUUGAAAAUUGGCAUAACUACCUUGAUUUUAUCGAGAAGGAAGAAGACAUCAAUAAGGUAUGGUUUUGCACUUAUAGCAACCUUUUGUCUUUUUUAUUUAGUAGAUUUUAUGGAACGUUUGGAAUCUUAUAACUUACAAUCCAGUCUUAUUGGCUCCAUUAUAUGCUGUAACGGCUAGUAUUUUGGAGAAGCUUCCUUUAUAAUGGGAUAUUGAACUGAGGAUAGAGCGUGGACAUAAUGUUUGGUUUCGAUGAGGCUAAGUACUCCAAACUUUCAUUUGGCAGUGGUCGUUCUGGGUUAAUGAUAUAUGGUACCAAAUACCAGUUGUUUGAAUUUUUAAUCUCAUAUAUGCAGGUAUUUGCUUAAUGCUCACCUUCUUAACCAUCUAUCUAUCAAGCAAGGAUGGUCCCUCCUUUCUUAUGGAGGGGCCUCCGUAAUCAGCUAAUGGAGUAAUCUGUGUGAACUUCUCUUUGUUUUUUGUCAAUACCAAAUUCAUAUUCCCUUUAGAUACCCCCUUUCCCCCCUCAUGCUUAUGUUCUCUGAUGGCACUUUCUACCUUUUCAGGUUAUCAAAUUGUACGAAAGAUGUGUUAUUGCAUGUGCUAGUUAUUCAGAAUUCUGGAUCCGCUAUGUGCAAUGUAUGGAGGAUAAAGGUAGUCUAGAACUAGCAAACAAUGCCCUGGCUCGUGCCACUCAUGUGUUUGUCAAGGUAUCACUUUAUAACUUGUAGAACAAUAUACUAGAUCCAUUUAUAUUUUUAUGCGCUUUAUGAUUUCAUUAUUUCUUCCUUAUCUGCUGUACUUUUUGUGAAUCUUUAUGAUUCCAUUAUUUCUUCUUUAUCUGUUGUACUUUUUGUGAAUCUACCAUCAACAAAGUUUGAAUGUGGAUGUAACCAAAUUCUAUGUCCACAUUCUUGGUCGUAUCUUUAACUGUUGUAUUAUGUCUUGCUUUUGCACCUCUUAGAUGGGUGUUUCUUUUAGUCCAUAUUUCUUAUUGGCAUGAACAAAUGCAAAUAAAAGGAACAAAACAGGAAGUCAAUUAAACAGCUGGAUAUGUUGACAAGCAUAAAAAUGUUAUACAUCAUGGUCAAUUUUGGUUUAUGCGAGCUGAAUUUUUUAUCUCAAACAUGCAACAAAUCUCCGUAUCUUUGUAUUAAAGGGAAAGAGAGAACAAUUGGUCCCUUACAAAAGCAACCGCAUCACCUCCAAAGGUGAGGCUUGAGCAGGUUGCAGAAACAACACAAAUCUAAUUGAGAAGAAAAACGUAGAUAAUAAUGUUUGAUUGUGUGCAGUACAACAUUAUGUAUGCUAAGUGGUUUUAGAUUUGCUGAUAGCCACAUCCUGUUUCUCUUUGAUUUUUUAACAGAAGCAGCCAGAGAUGCAUCUGUUUAGUGCACGCUUUAAGGAGCUUAAUGGAGAUGUUUCUGGAGCACGUGCAGAAUAUGAGCAUCUUUACUCAGUACUAUGUCCUGGCUUUCUAGAGGCCAUUGUGAAGCAUUCCAAUAUGGAGCACCGACUGGUACGUCUUUGAACAAAUAACCUUUUCUUUUUCCUUUUUAAAGCCUUGUAUAGUUUGUUUAAUCCACCUCCUGUUUGCAGGGUGAUGAUGCAUCAGCUUGUUCAGUUUAUGACAAGGCCAUUUCAACUGAAAAGGAAAAGGAACAGAGCCAGCUCUUGCCAACGUUGCUUAUUCAGUACUCACGCUUCUUAUUUUUGGUACGUGAACGUAAAAAAGUGUUUACAUGCCUGUCUGUGCUGUAUCAUCUGAAUCUGACUGUUUUGACUGAACAUUGUGGUUAGCCAGUAAAAAAAAAUUAAGUGCUCCAAUUUUGUCUGUUUGAGCUAGGAGAUGCUUUCCUCUCUCCUUUUCAUUUACUGUUUAUUCAGUAGUUGAUUGAGUGGAAAUUCUGGUAUUAUUCUAUUUCUAUCUAUUAUCCACUAUUUCAGUUGGUGGAAUUUGAUGUGUUCCUUGAAAUGUGUAGGCCAUCCAAGAUUUGGAAAGGGCAAGGGAUACCUUAACUGAAUUGCAUGAGCAAUUGAACAUAACAAAACCAGUUCUUGAGGUUAUGACUUUCGAUAUUCCUCUUCAUCUUUGCCCUUAAUCUGUCUAAUAGACUAAUACUACCUCUUUAUUUUGCAGGCUGUCAUUCAUCUAGAGUCUAUCUUUCCAUGUGUAAAGCGUAUUGAAUUUUUAGAUUCACUUGUGGAGAGGUUUAUUACACAUGAAUCAUCUCAAGGAGAGGGGUCAAGUCUAGGCGACAAAGAAGAAAUAUCUUCCAUAUUUUUGGAGGUAAUAAUCAAAAGCAGAGCCCUUCUAUAUUGAGUUCCUUCUUGUUUGGCUAGAUAACAUGAAUUCUGUGGUUGAGGUGGUGUUAGAAGUGUGAAGUAAGAUCAUUCCCUAAUGAAGGCCAUAUAUAAUAAUGUUUUCUUUAGGUGCAUUAAGUUAGUGUUAUAGUAUACAGUACUUAUGUCGAAUGGUUGUCAGGAUUUUAUGCUAUUUAUGCUCUUUGACUAUAUUUUUAGUGAAAUCAUCACAUACAACUGUUCGGUAGCAUUAUUUGUGUGCUCUUCUUUUGGAACAUAAAGAAUUUUGUGAGCGAUGGCUAGAGCUUCAAGUUGAGAGGCUGCCCACCCAGGCUGGAACCUGUGUGCUCGCAGGUCGUGUGAGUAGCUCCCUAAAAGGGCUAGGUACUCCCCCUCUCUAAGACAAAGCCAAGGGGACGUCACUUCCUGUGGUCUGUGUCUUUUUGGGUGCUCAUCUUUGGGAACAUGAAGUGCUUUCUUUUUUUGGAAAAUGUUUGGAAUUUUGGUUCACUGAGUCAUGUAGUUUUGCAGCUUUUGUCUAUGUAACGAAUUGAAUAUAAGCAGAACUCUCCUUAAAGUUAGUCUAUUCUUGAACCACAAUGAUCUCUGUUGUACUAUCAAAUAUGGUAUUCUGGUAUUGUUAGUGCUAUGUAAAUGAACUCAUUUCUUUUAUUUUUCAUUUGGAUUUUUCCAGUUUGAUACUUUAGAUUAAUGCCUCUUACAAAUUGCCUACAUGUAGUUUUUGGAUCUCUUUGGGGAUGCAAAGUCAAUCAAGAAGGCUUUAACUCGGCACACGGCUCUCUUUUCAUGUAAGAGAAGCAUUCUACCAUCAAAGAAACGGAAAGCAGAUGAUGCUAUUAUGUCAGACAGGGACAAGUUGGCUAAAAUUGGUGGUACUCAGCCAGUUAUGGGGACUGAUCCAAAUGCUCCCAAUCCUCCAGUUUGGCCCGCGACUUCUGAAGCAUCAGGGCAACAAUGGGGAGCUGGUUAUGCACCUCAGGUUAUAUAUUCAUAUAAAUUUGCGAGAUUUAGCUGCUUUAUAUACUUUUUCUUUGGUGCACUAAUCGAGAUACUGGGCAGCCUAUUGAAAUAAAAAGAAUAUGAGAUGGACAUUGUUUAAUCGUCUCUUUAAAUCUUCCCAGACACAAUAGAUAUAAAUUGUUAAAUAUCUCAAUGCCUCCUGUUAAGCCUACCUGAAUUUGCAGCUAUCAUCCACGUUUCCUAAGCUGACACUUUACUUGGAAUUGUUCAUCUGGUUUGGCGUGCUCUUUGCUAGAUCUAAAAGUUCAUUCCUAUUACUACUUUCACAACUAGGAGUUUGAAUUAUUGAACCUGGGGCAAGCUUUAGAUAUUCUUUUUUUUCAUUUGAAAAUUAGUCGCUUUUUUUUUGUUUGGCUAUAAUGAUGCUAUUAUUGAUUAACUAUACACUGUUGUUUAUUGAUUAAAAGGUCUUUUGCAUUGUAGGCUGCAUACCCUGCAUAUGGAACUUAUGACUACAGCCAUCAAAUGCCUCAGCCUGCUGCUCAAGCUGCUUAUGGUGCUUACCCUCAAGCAUACCCUGCUCAGGUACUGAAUUUGAUUUCUGCAUAUGUUUUGGAAAUGCUUCUGGAAAUUCAAGUCAAAGCAAUAUUCCUAGUGUCUUCCAAAAUUUGUUGCAAGGAAUGACCAUGCUACAGUCACACUCUUCCCACCAUCUAGAUUCCCUACAUAUAUCCACAUGCCCAAUCAGGAAAAUUACAUAAGGAUUUCAAUUUGAUGAUAAAAGGGAUUUCAUGGCAGAGUAAAAGCUGUUAUCAAUUAUCAUUUGGGUUGUAAUUAUCUUUUUUCAAUAGUUCUUUUCAGUAAAAGAAGCUAGUUCUUAGGCAGUCUUACCCAAACAUGGCGAUGUUAACUGGCAGUCAAGGUUAACGAUGGUAACUGAAGAUAGUUACUUCUGAUCUGUCAAACAAGUGAUACUCAGACCUAAUGGCCGUAACCUAUGUUUUGUUUAGUCAUGUCAUGUUUUUCGUUAUGUGUGUUCAAUCAGUAUUACCUCUAGCAGAUAUGAACCAGCAGUAAUUUAUGCUCAUGUAGAUUAAACCUGGUCGAAACCUUAGUCAGGUUUAACUGGAGCUAUCUCUUCACUUUCUGCUUACACUUGCCUCUUGGUUCGUGCACCUGGUAUACCUCAUUGUCCAGUGAGGUUCCCCCCUUAUGUUCACAACUACACUAACUUGUAAUGUGUUGAAGGAUGUCGUCUGAUUAAAAUUGCGGAUAACAUUUUGUAGGGCUACACACAACAAAGCUACGCACAACCUGCAGCAAUGGCAGCAGCACCAGUGCCCGCAGCGGCACCAGCACCGGCACCAACAGCAGCCUACCCUCAGCAACCUGCGGCAGCAGCUCCUCAACCCUACUAUGGCACAACCUACUACUGAUCUGUAGAGUGAUCCUGGAGACGGUGAGUCAAUGAGCCUGUUAAUCUGCCUUCACGCAUGUGGUGUUUCUGCAGUCUACUCGGCAGGUUAGCAAGUACCAGGCCAAAGGUAUCGCAAGGCCCUUUGUAGGGCUAGUGUUCCUCGAAGACGGUGUCAGCGUUGAGGUUUAACUUGCCUUUAUCCGGACGCUAUUUGCGGUAGUGCUACCGAGGAUGAUCACGAGUCCAAAUCUGAGAUUUGUAUAGUCAGAAUAUUAUGUUUGCGAGCAUCUGUCGCUAGGAAUUUUUCAUUCGCGUAGCUUGUCCGUCCUACUGUAACGCUAUAAUCGAUAUAUCGGUGUUCGCAAUGCUUAUGAAUUGCCAUCCCAUAAUCAGCACUGUUCGUGGUUCAUGGCCCAUUUGGAAUGUGAUUUUUCCCCGCUGUUGCUAUCGAUAUCCGGAUGCUACACGGAUUGUUGCAUAUAGAAUCGCGAUGCACGAAUAUAUUCAAAAACGUGCCGGGACAUUUUCUGGCGCCGCCACCGCGGCUGGCAAGAGGCAGAAUAUGUGCCCGACAGAGGCGGAUAAGCCGCGCUCGGUCGUACGCACCGAAAGAUGCGACAGCGUCACAGUUUUUUUUAUCUGAUAAUGCGUCACAGGAUGAAAUCGCGUCAUCGCAGCCUGAGCGGGCUAGCUGAUGAAGAAGCAAAGCGACAGCGCCUGCCCUUGCACCAGUGCACGACCGGCCGCAUCGGCGUCUCCACACCCAAAGCGCGUCGUCUCGUUUGCCACGGCGCCUCGUUUUCGCCGGCUCCGCUCGUCCCUGCGGCUCUGUGCCUAUAUCAACCUCCCUUGACCACCCAUUUCAUCGUCGCACUCUCGUUACACCCGUGCUUGGGCAGUCUAUUUUGUCCAGUGAGAUCGAUGCGCCUGACCUGUGCUCUGAACUAGGUACGUGAGCUUUCUUGUCCGAUAUCUACGUGAAAACAAAGUUCUGCAACUUCUUCAAUCUCCUAUGUCGUUCGGUCCCUUAGUUCACGCGAUUUGUUAUGGCAGAGCAGUCGAAUUUUUGUACCCUUCUGUUCAUCAAUCUACACUGAAACUUUACAGAGACUGACCAGUCUUCAAGACCACGCGUGGAUGAUGACAUAGAUAUCAAAUCUUAUUGUCUAUCGAGUGCAGGAAGCCGCAGGAGAACUGAUGGCCGAGAUCGACACUAGACCAUUAGAAUCCGUGCAGGCCGCCGUGGGCAUCUUCGACCGGGGAGGCGACCAGAGCAGGCUCAUCAGUCCGGACACAAAUGUGCGUUGAAUCCGCUACUUCCAACUUCCAUUUGAUCGUGACAAAACCAUUCACUUGCUGGCGAAAACGCAGGAGGAAGAGAUCGCCAUCCUGACCAAGGAGCUCGCGGCCUGCAAGCUGCAGCUGGAGGUCCGAGAGAGCCAGCACAAGCAAGCGGCCCUGGAGAUCGAGGCCCUCGAGAAGGCCGUGCGGGACCUCUCGGACCAGUACGAGAGAGACCGCGCGCGCAUCGCCCAGCUCGAGGCCGAGAACGCAGCGAUCGCGAGCCGGCAGGCGGCGGCGGACGGCGAGCGCGGGGCCAUGCGGGACGAGCUGGCCGCCGCGAGGGCCGAGCUCAGCGAGGCCAGGGCGUCGGUCGCCUUCGUGCUGCGGGAGGUGGAGGCGAUGGAGACGAGGGCCAUCCUGGAGCGGGAGAGCACCAGGGACGCGCUGGCGCGGAUCCUCCGGCUCAACGAGACGGUGCUGUCGUCGGCGGUCGCCGCAAUCAGGGCGGAGGAGGAGAGGUCGUUGUUCUUCCAGGAGGCGACGCUCGAGUUCUUUAACUCUGACAGGAAUCUGGAGGUGGUGAGGAGGCAGGUGGAGAUGGCGGAGAGGAUGGAGGAGGAGCUGCUGGCGAAGACGGUGGAGAUCGAGUACCUGCGGUCGGAGCUCCAGCAGGUGAAGGAGAUUUACGUGUUGCCUGCAGAAAGUUCUGAUGCGACAACGGUGAUAACAGCUGCUGCUGGCUGCAACAAUUUUGAUGAACAUGAUCAGGUGCAGGCAUGUGAAUUAGGAGUGAGAGAUACUGAAGCGCAAACGGAAUUCACGUUUCAGCACUCUGCGGAAGAAUGCUUUGUUUCUGAAAUCUUCAGAAAUGAUGGCCAUGUUACAACGUGUGAUGAAACCAAGAUGGAAAUCGAGGUAUCCGAGGAUGUAGCAGAGGAUAAGCAAGGAGCAGAUGUUAUGGUUCAGGACACGACAGUCCUUGAAGGGAACUCCGAUGAUCAAGGGACAAGUUGCCUUGACGCUGAGAUCUCUGGAGAAGAUCACAAUGCCAUUCAAUCAGACAGCAAAAAUAUUUUAGCUGAAAACAAUCAAGAACCAGCUGAAUCAGAUAGCGUGCUUCCAAACUCCACGGCGUGCCAAGGUAACGAUCUCCACCUGCAACAUCACGAGGAGGCCAAAGCAGACGCCAGCUUUGUCCUCGAGAGCUCGAGGGACGAUUUCCAGAGCGUGCACUCUGACGCCAAGGACACCAGCAUCGCCGAGCCUGGAAACGUCGCGAUCGUAGAAACCCAAGAACAGCGAGCAGAAGCCUCCGCAGCUCCGACCUCCACGCCGCGCGAAGGCAACCCAGACACUUGCGUCGUUGCCACGGAGAUCGUCUCCAAUCACGAUGACGAGUUCUACACGAAGGAGCUGGAGCCCGAGCGGGGGCAGGGAGGAAGCAAGCUUGACGGGUACGUGCUCGUGUCGAAGAGCGGCGACGGGGACGUCGCGGCCAGGGACAAGCAGCUGGACGCGGCGCGCGCGGAGAUCAGCGACCUGCGGUUCAGCCUCGAGGAGGCGGUGCGGCGGGCGGAGCUAGCCGAGGAGGCGAAGGCGGCGCUGGAGCGGGAGCUGAGGGAGGAGCUCCGGAGGAAGCAGCAGCAUACCCCCUUGCGGCGGCGUGCGCCGUCGGAUUCGGAGGACGGCGGGCGCCCGGCGGCCCUCGAGGGGGCUCCUCCGACGCCCGCGCGGACGCGGUCGACGCCGCCUCACGCGCCUUCUGGGACGACGCCGUCCACCGGGGCGCUGAGAAAUGCCAGGCCGGGAGGGGAGGACAUGCCGACGCGCGGCUUGACGCUGGGAAAGGUGCUGAACAUGAAGUACAAGUGAAUGUUUCCAUUCCCCAGGUUUUGUUCUGUAGAAAUGGCUGCUGAUCCCUGUUGAGUGUUGAAGGUUCACGACUCCAUGCAUACUCAACAGUGCUUUUCCAUUGCAGGAUUAAUGUAAUUGGAAUUGUUCUAUGUGUUUGAUCCUCCGGCGGUGAAUAUAUAUAUUGUAGCACUAAAUUAAUUGGUUGCUUGCUAUCUGAUGGUGAAUAUAUACAUUGCAGUGUAGGCAUCUAGCUAUCCAAUAAUUAAUUCAUACUACGCUCUCAAAAAAAUUAAUUCGUACUAGAUGCCUUGGUGCUAUUUAACGAUGCCCAAAGCCCCCAAAAUGUCCUCACAGCACCAGCCACACCUCCGUCUCAAACUGAAAACCCAACUGGAUCCAAGCCUGCCUGAAACCUCACGAAAAUCAAUGAGGACCUGCAGCCUCCUCGUCGCCAUUGCCGCCGCCAUCUUCGCCGCGGCCACCACCCCCGUCACGGCGACCCUGCAUGGGGGUUGGGGAGUUAUCCCCGACGUCGAGGACGCUCACGUCCAGGAGAUCGGUGCGUGGGCGGUGGCGGAGCACGUGAAGCGCGCCAACGACGGGCUCAGGUUCAGCAAGGUGGUGAGCGGCGAGGAGCAGGUCGUGUCCGGCGCGAACUACCGGCUGGACAUCGUCGCUGUGAACCUCGCCGGACAGAACGCCACGUACAACACCGUCGUGUACGAGCAGAUCUGGACCAACACGCGCAAGCUCCUCUCCUUCGACCGGGUCAAGUGAGCGAGCGACAAUCCGUAAUUUUAGCAUGGAGAGAUUAGGUUGUGUUGAUCCAGAAUUUUGGAUGUAAUAAGAGAUAGCGACCGUGCUAUCCGGGUUUUAUGGGACACCUUGUCAUGGUCUUAGUCAUUAUCUACUGAAUUAUGGAUAAUUUCAGGGCUUGAAUUGUAUGGAUCCACCCAAGUUGUGAAAAUCCAGCUCUUGUGAUCCCUUAGAUUGAGGUCCAGCUCUGUUGUAUGUUGUUUUAGUUUGUUUACAUCUAGAUAUAGUGCAUGUCUAGGUGUCUAAUAAUAUCUAUGAACCUACAAAAUUCAAAAUGACCUGCAAUUUGGAACGGAAGGAGUAUAAUUUAGCUUUCGCGAGUCCUUUGUCCUAAAAUAUUAUUCAUUUUGACUUUUCGAGAUACAUAAUUUUUACUAUAUUUCUAAAUAUUAUAUAUAUAUAUUUAAGUGCAUAUCAAAAUUAUAUAUUUAGAAAAAUUAAAAUGAAGAAUAAUUUGAGUAGAAGUAAUUAUAAUUUAGCUUUCACAGUCUGAGGUGGAGGUGGACCUAAACAAGCCAUAGUAAAGGAAUGUACUCCACCAAAAUAAUAGCAUGGGCGAGCAUGUAAACACAAGGAAAACUAAUUGCCGGCCCAAGAACAUCCCGGAUCCAGCCCAGCAACACGCCAACACUUCCAAUCCACACACUGUUCUUCUCACGAACGCACGACCCAAAACCCCUUCCACAUCCAUCUCCUCCUCCGGUGUCGACCGCCAUGGCCGCCGGGCGGGCCUUCCUCGGCGCCCCCUGCUCCUCCCUCGCCACUGGUGCCCGCCGCCUCGCCUUUGCUUCGCCUCCGCCCCGGGCGCUCGCCCCUGCGCUCCGCCGCCGCGUCGCCGGCCGCUGCGUCGCCCCCGUCUCCUCGUCCCCUGACGCGGCCUCCGCACCGGAGCCCUACGUGCUCACCACGCCACUCUACUACGUCAACGCCCCGCCGCACAUGGGAAGCGCCUACACGACCAUCGCCGCCGACGCCAUCGCUCGCUUCCAGGCAAGCCUUCUCCUCGUACGACUGCAAUCGCUGUGUUUUCGAUCAGUUUGGGGUCGGACUUGGGAACCUGCACGAGUAAAAUGGUUUCAAUCCGCACAUCCGCGGCCCGCGGGUUGCAUCAAUUUCACUGCAGCACUAAUAUUUAACAUACAUUUUUGCAUAAAGUAAUGCUUUACAAACAUGGGUCCAAAAUACAAACACGUUUUGUUAAGGGUCAUUUGUGGUACUGUGGUAAAUGUAUGACGCGAUUAAACGUUGGACGAUCAGGUAGUGAUGCACCACUCUGUUGCACAUGCAUUUCCCGGAUGGAGAGAGAGAUUCUAUAUUUUCCAUAAACUCUAAUGAGUUCAUUGUUAUAGCUUCAUACUAUUUCAGUUUCUAGCUGCACUCUCGAAGAAGUUUGUUAGGUUUACAGUGUUACUGUAAUGGACACAACAGUGUGGUCUGCUGCAUUUUACAUCCAGUUUGCUGGAAUUACCAGCUCGUAUCAUUUGCCCAUUUAGCUUAAGCUAAUACUCGAGUUCAGUUGCUCUCUGUUGAUGAUGCUUCUGUGGUUGCAGAGGUUGCUAGAGAAGAAGGUUAUAUUUAUUACUGGAACAGAUGAACAUGGUGAGAAAAUCGCCACUUCAGCGGAGGCUAGUGGUAGAAACCCAAAGGAGCAUUGUGAUGCUAUUUCAAGUUCAUAUAAGAUGCUCUGGGCUGAUGUACGUCCAUAAUACCAAGUUUCAGUUUACAUUGCUGUUGACAACAGAGUAAAUCAUGAGCUCACUUCAGUCCUCCAAAUUUGUUUCACAUUUCUUGCAGUUAGACAUAGAAUACGACAAGUUUAUCCGCACAACUGAUUAUAAGCAUGAGGCUGUUGUCAACGAAUUCUAUUCUAGAGUAUUAAACAGUGGUGACAUUUACAGAGCUGACUAUGAAGGACUUUAUUGUGUGAGCUGUGAGGAGUACAAGGUAAGCUUCUUUCUCAACCUUCUUAUAUAGUACUAAGCCAUUUUCAAUCAAAUAUGGCAGUACAAUUAAAUAUACUAAUCAAUACAAAUACAUUUGAUUACUUCCUGUGACAUUUUAAUUCAUGUUACCUACUAAGUGGGUUUGCUUUCCUAUACUUCUUUUUUGGUUUUACAUGGAUAAAGAUCUUGGCUAUUUAUCCAUUUUUAUGGGGGACUGAUGCCUAUGCCAGCUGCCAUGCUUAAUCUGUCUUAAGGGCAAGUUUGGAUUAGCUUUUUGGCCCUUAAAAAAAUUAGAUGCAAAAUAAACAGUGCGAAAGUCCAAGUUUUUUUGCUAUGCUAAUGAAGAUAGGGGUGUGCACUAUAUUGUUAUGUGAUGAUGUAUUUUAGUUUCCUAAUUGUUUUAUGUAGGCAAUUACAUUAUGCCAUGUGCACUUAAGUAUGUUGGCCUUAUUUUCGUUAUUAGUACUUGUAAUAAUGUUUCGUUUCAACUGGAUGCAGGAUGAAAAAGAGCUAGCGGAAAACAAUACGUGUCCUGUGCAUUUGAAGCCUUGUGUAGCAAGAAAAGAAGACAACUAUUUCUUUGCCUUGUCAAAAUACCAGCAUAAGUUGGAAGAGCUGCUGGCAAAAAAUCCUAAUUUUGUAAGGCCGUCACAUCGCUUGAAUGAGGUGAGAUUUUUAUUUUUGUUUGUAUAUGGUUUUGUUCUAUCUUUCUGUGACUAUUGAGUUACUGUGCAUCAAUGCAAAUUGUGGUGGAAACUGUAGAUCGUUUGUACAAAAAUGCAGACGUAUCAGAUGAUUUGAGCACAUACAAGGUAAAAGUCUUAAAAAGAUGAAUUUGACAUAUUAAUUCAUGAAGCUUUGCCACUAAUUUUGUUGACAUGUGCCUUAAUGAAGCUUUGCCACAAUUUUCUUGAUUAUGUUUGUGUUGUCAAGUACGUACUAACCAAACAAAGAAAUUUCAUUGGGUAAGGUGUUGUUGUCGUGUUGAAUAAAAAUCUAUGCUGUACAUUUUCUUAUAAGUAUCGUGUCAAGUAGUAACUCCAUUGAGAUCCUGACUAGGUUAAAGAUGGAAACUAAGAUGACAACAUUUACCAGAUCGGGAAAAAAGAAAACUGCCAGCAUUGCUUUAUAUGUAAAAAAGGAGACUCAGUAGUUAAUAGAUAGUGAAGGGGCUCUGUGGGCCACAAUUGUUCCUUUGUAUACUGUGCAGUUAGAUUAAUACAUCAUUGAUAAUGAAUGUAAACCAAGCCUAGUCCUAGCGUUUGAAAAUUUUUCCUUACUGUUUCAAGGUAGGCGCGCUGACUCAUAUGGGCAUUAGUGCACGUGCAUGUCAAGCGAGGUCUGACCAUAGUCUUAAUGUUUUCCAUGUAACAAAUUCCGCAGUCGUUUGAAAAAAAGGGCUGGUCAUCUUAUUAAGUCAGUGCCGAGAUCAUAUUUUAUUUCUAUUUGAUUAAAUUUGCAAUAGGAAGUGCACCGUUAUUUUCUUGCAUGAUGACAAUAUCAAGAAUAAAUUUGUUUCCUGCUACUGCAAGUUUAUCCAAUCCCUUAUUUACCAGUUACCACUGUCAGACAUCAGUGAUCCAGGGGAGCCCCAUGUGUUGUUGAGACAUCGAUGGAAAACAAGGGAUUUCAAAACUUUGCAAUGGCAAAUAAGGAAUUGAAUCCAAUAUCUAAACCCACAAAUGUUCAACUCUCCCAUUUUGAGCAAAAUAUUUAUAUUUUAAUUUCCAGCUACAGCAUAACCUGGGUAGUUAGGUUGCUUCAUUACUUAUCAGUCUUGCUGUUUGAACAUGCUUAUUUUUAUUGUUUUAGAAUAUACAUGUUCUUUAUUCUAUCUCAUGAAGACACAGCUUGUAGGUCCAAGGCUGGAUUAAAAGUGGAUUAAGAGACUUUUCUAUUUCCCGUGCAUCUGUAGACUGGGGCAUUCCGGUGCCAAAUGACACCAAGCAGACAAUAUAUGUGUGGUUUGAUGCUCUAUUAGGGUAAGUUUCUCGCUUCAUGCCUGCUCAUUUGCACAUGACCACACCCAAAAUUGCCAACUUGCUUCUGUUUGUAAGGUAUAAGAGUCCAAUGAUAACCUGACGACCAUGUUUACACUUUUGGGAUGCUCUGAAUUCUUAGAAUUUGUUAUUUUAGAAGGAUUACUGCUUGUUGUUUCCCCUUGUAAGUACUGGAGACUAAUUGCUUCGAGUUCAUCUGAAAGUCUCACUGAAGGCUCUCUUAAUGGUCUUCUCUUUCUAUGACACUGAUUAACUGCUUUUUUAGUAUUCUCUGUGCUGUUCACGUAUGUUGUGUUGUGUUUCAUUGUGCUACAGAUAAUAAAGUUCCUGUGUGUGUGUCUGUUCUGGCAUAGCCACAUGUAUGUUAAAUUUCAUAGUAGACAUAGCCACAUGUAUGUUAAACUUCAUAGUAGACAUAAUAAUCCAUUUUUAUAUUUGGCAUAGCCACAUGUAUGUUAAUAAUCCAUUUUUAUAUCAGAUACACUUUACUACUUAAGCAUAAUUUAGCCUAUCCGUGCAAUGGAAGAACAGCGAGCUCUUGGUCUUUAUUACUCUGCUAUUUGAUUGAAGACUUGAGUCUUGAAAUGGGGAUGAAGAUUGUAUCUCUUUUAGAAUUCUUAUUCCCAAAUCCAACAACUCAACCUACUCUUUGGUUUCAUUUUGUUUGACUAUUACAUGUUUUUGUCUCUGUAGGUAUAUUUCAGCAUUACUAGAUGAUGGUGAGCAGGCAAGUUUGCAGCAAGCCAUUGAUCGUGGUUGGCCUGCCUCCCUCCACUUGAUCGGAAAGGUUUAUUCCAAGCAUUUUUAUAGCAUUUUGAAGCAUUCAUGUUCUUUUACUGUGGGCUUCUCUUCUCAUUCCUAAUUAAUACAUUUAUUUGGUUGCUUGAUAUUUUCUUUUGAUGAUAAGGAACUCCUAUAAAUGGAUAUGAACUUGUAUAGUACCAGCCUACUUGUUGGGGUUUAACUUAUCUUUUUAAAGGAAAAAAAUACUGUUAAUUGCAAAUGAUAUAUUUAAAUUAAGAAAACAGCAUGAACUCUUUUCUGUUCUAUAGAUGAAUCAACUAACAUCACUUGGUGCACCUAGCUUUUUUUUUUUUGUACAUGGAGAAAUUUUUCACCCACUCCAUCUUCCUAUUUUUAAAAUAGAACCCAGUUUAACCUUGUUUACAUUGAGUCCUGCUUCACAAUCAUCUACUUGGGGCUUGGGAUAAUAAAACUCUGAUGUGGUAUGGUAGCUAAGUACUGUUAUGGCACAAAAUCUUGAAAAGAUCAUUGGCAUAUUGGCAAAUUUGAUAAAACUGUUGAGAACUUGAGUGGUAAGGUCCCAGCUGAAACAAAUUUGUGAGAGGUAGCUUUUAGUUUCUGAAACUGACAAUACUGGUACUUAACUCCACAUAGAAUAGAACCUUUGUUCUUGUAUGUUAAAUCUAGUAGCCUUUUAUUUGUCUUCCAAUGCCUGUAAACUUGCAUUUCAUUUGUGCUUGAGAACUGUCUUUUAAACAUCUGUACUUUUUUAUAUUUAUAUAUUUAUUUACUGCUUAGAAUAUUGUCUCAUUCCCUCUCCACUGCGAAAUGCAAAUUAAGCAGUGCUAACAUAUUUUCCUAGAGCUGGUCAGUAAUGUAGGGCAUUGAUACAGAUGUUCAUUUUACAAGCAAGAAUACUGGAGGGACUUCUGAUUUUUUUUAAAAAAAUUGCCCCUAGAUUACGGUUUGUGAUGAGGUUGUGUUUGUGUGCAUGUACUUCAGGACAUAUUGCGGUUCCAUGCAGUUUACUGGCCAGCCAUGUUGAUGUCAGCAGGGAUAAGUGUUCCUGAUGCAGUUUUUGGUCAUGGCUUCUUGACAAAGGUGAAUCUUACUUAUUUUGAUGUUUCUGUUUCCAUUUCUACAGCCCUGGCAACAAUAUAACACUGUACCAUAAGUAAAUAAUAAUGAGGGAAAUAGUAAUCAUUGUGUAUAAAGCCAAAGAGAUUAUAACAAUUUGAGGAUGGCCUAUUUCUUUAAACUUCAUUUCUGUAAGAAAGGUAGCUUCAUCGAAUAACUUUUACUUCAUGCACCAUUGCCUUCUAUUUUCGAAAUUGUAGGAUGGCAUGAAGAUGGGGAAGUCAUUAGGCAACACUCUUGAACCAAAAGAUCUGGUAGAAAGAUUUGGUGGUGAUGCUGUUAGGUACUUCUUCUUGCGUGAAGUAGAAUUCGGCAAUGAUGGGGACUAUUCAGAAGAACGCUUUAUCAAUAUCGUCAAUGCUCACCUUGCUAACACAAUUGGUAUUUCUACUCAAGUAUCUUUGUUUCUGUAACAUGUGUAUACUCUUUAUGUGUGCUAAAAUUUAUUGUGCCUUUUGCCUUCUUUCUUCACACAGUGUUCCUUAUUUGUGUUAACUAUGCAUCUUUAUGUGUUAAUAAUGAUAUCAUUUUAUUCAUUUGAAUAGGAAACCUCCUUAACCGCACACUUGGGCUUCUAAAAAAGAACUGUAAAUCCACACUAGCGGUUGACUCAAUUGCUGCAGUGGAUGGAGUACCAUUCAGAGAAAAUGUAGAAAACCUGGUAAGUAGGUCUAUCAGAGGAGUGGAGGAUUUAACGAUAAACCAUGAGUUUUGGUUGAAUGUAGAGUCUGAUAUGUUUGAAACAGGCUGCAGAAAGACUUAGUAAAUGUAAGUUCUAAAUAUAAAUACAUAUAGAAAUUUGUUUUAUAAGUGAAAUAAUUCCAUAUUAUACGUCAGAAAAGCUAAAACUUAAUAGUAAUGAGUUGCUCUCUAGUUUACAAUACCAUAUGGUUGGUUUCUACUCACAUAAUCUUUUUGGUAUACAUCAAGACUACAGUAAAUGUGUAAUGCUCUUGUAAGUUUUAUUUCUUAGCAUAUGGCAAAUAAAGACAACAACCAUUGUCAUACUAGGUAAACUAGUUAUAAUUUAUGGAUUAAUUGUUCAUCCUGUUAAUAUGUGGUGAAGGUUUUUUUUCUUUGUAUUGACACUAUGGGUUGCCAAUCAUGUGUUGGUUUGAUCUGUUGUCCGGACCCAUGAUACAUCUGGAUGUUUCAGACCAUCGUCUACUAUUAUAUGCGUAAUAAAUACCACAUAUUUGUAUGUCCUGUUUUUUUAUUUGAGCGAAUAUUUGUAUGUCCUGUUGUGUAUCUGUUAGCAUCACAGGGAAAAUUAUUUAUACAGGUGGACAAGGCAAAGCACCAUUAUGAAAAUCUUUUGCUGUCAUCAGCAUGUGAAUCUGUUUUAGAGAUUGGUAACCUUGGAAACUUGUACAUCGAUGAGCAAGCACCAUGGUCCUGUUUCAAGAAAGGGGGUGAGAGUACUGAAAAAGCUGCAAAGGUGACGAUUUGAAACUACUGUUUAAGAUAAUUUUUUAAUGAUCUAAAUAAUGCUAUUUGAUGUGAGACAUUGAGCUACUCAUUAACUGACUACGUUAUUUGUUCUGUUGUUAAAUAUUUGGAUGAAUUAAUGUAUAUUUAUUAUUUCAUCUGUUCUUGGGCAAGUUAUGCUACACAUAUUUAUGAAAUUACACUUAUCUCACAGUAUUGAUGUUCGAAAGUCGAGUGGCAUUAUAGUUAUGACCUGCUCUCUUAAUUCUGUCUCCUCUUAUCUACAGGAUCUUGUAAUUAUUUUAGAGACAAUGAGAAUAAUUGCAAUUGCACUAUCUCCUAUCACCCCAAGCCUUUCGCUGAGGAUUUAUACACAGCUUGGUUUCACUGAAGACCAAUUUAGGGUAUUGAGAUGGGUAUGUUCUAUCGAAUAUAUGCUCUGAUGUCAUUUCCAUUUCUUUGCAAUAUUUUAUGGCCAUCCUCCGAAAUACAAUCUAACAUCCUCAUAAUGCAAAAGGUCAAAAGCAUUUACUUCAAAUGUGCCUCAAUAUUCGUCCUGAGCAUGUAAUUUUUGUCAAUUAUGUUCUUAGGAGGAUACGAAAUGGGGAGGCUUAAAAGCAGGCCAGGUAAUGAUGGAGCCAAAGCCAGUCUUUGCAAGGAUAGAAACUGAGACGGAAGCUGAAGCUCAAGCAACUUCAAAGGCUGCAAAAGGUGGGAAGAAGAAAGCACAAAGUAAAGGUCUCGUAGAAGCAUAAAAUCACUGAUGGAGUAGCCUACUUGUUCCUAGCCAAAAAAAGUCACAUAUUUUAUUGUGUAGAUAACAGGAAAUCACCUGCAAUUCAAAAGCUCUGUCAAGGCAUGGAGCAUCGUGAGAUAACUGACUUUCAGUUUUCUUAUCCCAUGGGUUCCAGUCUAAUGUAGUACAACUUUUUUCCCAUUUGAAUGAGCCAGCAAGAGUCUUGUCGGAUUACAACAUUUUUUUCCUGCUUUGGGAGGUUUGGCUCAGAGAGAGGAGGGCAGAAGAGAGAGGCUGAAACGAAGAAGAUAAUCUAGUGGCUCAGCUUGGGGCUGGAGGCGACUCUAGCGCGUCAAAACCAUUGCCACCUGCGCCCUCCAUCCAGAACAAAAGUCAGUCUAGUUUUCUACUAGGUCAAAAAAAAGUUUGAAACGGAGGGAGUAGGACCUUAUCUGUUCUAGCAAAUCUUUGAUGAAGUAUAGAACAACAAAUAUAACCAAAUUCAAAACAUGGAACUCCCAAUUUCUUCAAAGAUGUCAUGUAUGGACUAUACACGUCAGCAAUCAUGCAGCACCAGACACAAAAGGCAGCCGGCAACCAAGCGGAAGGACAUGUAGCAGCAGGUAACUCACAGCAACACAGUUCAGGAAAGGGACUUGGACCACAUUGGCACAUCAAACACCUGAUAUAUGUACUACAUGCAAUUCACAUACCUCAGCCAUGUUCAAUUCUACAACGAAGGAAAUGAUACAUGGAUAAAAACAAAGUUGCAGUUGUUGAAGUCAUCCCUGAAAUUAGAAAACUGAUCGCAAGCCAGUAUUGCUAAAUUCUGAAGUUUGUAAAUGGAGGAUCAAAUGCUAUACAAAUCAAAAUAAAAUCAUGUAAAUGCAGACAGAACUAAUCUGUCCUUGACAGUUACAGAUGAUGCUAGUUCUCAUUUCAAUAGCGUAUUCUUGGGUCUUAAGAAAACGAAAAAUAUGCAAAAGAACAUGCAAAGUAAUAAUGUCGAUUUACUGGGGGAAACCGUCGAAAUAGCUCAAUGCUAAAAAAUUUUGUUUGGCUCAUGGUGGAGGAGCCUUACAAGCAUCGCUUCCGGGAGUGGAUGGUGGUGCAUGACCAAUCAUUCCUAGCCGAGCACCAACGGAUUUAUCGUGAGAUCUAGAACACCACUAUAUCAAUAUGAGGUAUAUAGAGGAGUUCAACAAGUGAUGAUGAAGAAUGCACGUGGCUUAGAGACGGAACCAACAACUCCUAACAGGGGCACAUGCCCCCACUUGGAUUCUUAAAUAUAAGUUAAACUUGUGGAUGCCAAUUUAUGUUGACAUGGGCGCCACAACCAAUGCUUGCAGCUAGCAACCACGUCGUCGUUGCCGAGGUUAUGUUAGCCGAGUUGCCGAAUAGUAUAGACCAGUGAUAGGCAAGUCCGUUCACCCAUUAAAAAAAUAAGGGAAUUGUGGUACAGGGAAUUAUGCACAUUAAUGUAUGCGCGAAGGUUAAGUUUGUCUUUAAUAACACCAAAACGUUGUUGUCUGAUAACACAUACAAUGAAUCAUGAUCAUUGUUAAGAAAACGGAAGGCGGCCAUUCUAAAUGGUUGCACAGCAUUGACUUAGCGUAACAAUUAGACUUUGCUCUAUGUUAUUAUCUCACGUUUUUUUAUUUUGAUGUCAAAUGAUGUGAUUGUUUCAUUCAUCAUGUUGCAACGAAAUAAUUGGCCACCACCAUUUUAGAGUAAUGUCCAGUCCUAUGAUAAAAUUUACCCAAUAAUUCUAAAAACAUGAUAUGAGAGGAGUCUUUGUCAUGACCAAGUUGGCUCAAUAUAAUUAUCUGAACGUGUACCGAUGUGUGGUAUACCCCUGGUCGUAAGGUUUUUUUUCUUGAAAAGGACUGGGGAAAACUCUUUUCCUUAUAAUUUUUCUUAUCCUAAUAAAAUUUAAACCAAAGCUUUUGCUUCCCUUUCAGGGAAAAAAUAUUAGGGGAGCGGAGAGAACCACCGUUAUUUUUAUGCACGUAUGUGAAUAUUUGCACCCAUCAUGUGGGCGAAAAGUAAACAUUCAGUUACAAUUGUGUCCAUGUUUCAAAAUAAAAUCCUUGAUACUCGAUUAUUUGAAGAGUCAAUGCGAAUAACGUGGUGGAUGUCUUGGGACCUCCAAUAUUAAACUUCCGAACGAUCAACACAAAAUUAGCAUUGAUAUUCAUGUCCACCAAGAUCCAAUGUGGGCAAAUAUUUUACCUAUUAACCAAUGUUUAUUGGGGUUGUCACCAAUGCUUUGAAUUUUCGCACUCCGAUCCCGUCGUCGCAGGCGGCAAGCACGCCCCUGCCCCGCGCUGACCAUAGAAUUCUCACUUCCCUUUAGGCCUUUACUGCCACCAUUCUAAGCUUACAUUCCCUUGGUUGCAAUUUUCGUUAAGGUUCACUCGCUGACAGCUGGGCCCGCAGCUGCCCUGCCCCCUCCGUUAUCUUUCCCAGCCGCACGAGCGCGCUUGCACAGUUCGGCGACGGACCAGCCGGAGGAGAAGCGUCUUGGCCGAGCGCACGGCCUAGCCGAGCAUGCGGCCUGGGCGAGAGCCCGCGGGUGCCGGCUGCCGGGGGGCGCAAGCGGCCUCCAGGCCUCCAGGGCGUGCGUGUCGAGCCGAGGCCUGGCCGAGCACGGCCGGCACGCGGCUAAGCAAGCGACGACCACCCUCCGUGCCGCCCGUUCGUUUGCUAGCAUGCAUUGUCCUGCAAAGGAUUUGCUGGCCGAGCACGGCCGGCACGCGGCUAAGCAAGCGAUGAAGGCCGCAACGUCGCCGAGCUCGACCCGGAGAUACGCGAAGGAUCCGCCGGCCACGGCCCACGGGGAUAUCUUGAUGGCGAACUCGGUGUAGCAGAACACCGAGAGCGUGGCGGACAGGCCGGAGGCGGACGCCACCUAGGAGAGCACGAUGGUCGAUAGCCAGGCCGGCGUGGUCGUGCGCCCCCUGGCCCGUGAGCACAAUGCCGGCGCCGAUGACGGAGCCGAAGCACCAGAUGAGGCACCAGCGCAUCUCGUUCUCGCUGCGCCGGCGCAGAGCGCGCGCCGAGCUCGUCAGCGUCCGUGUGGAGCGGCCAGCAAAGCGGUCAUGGAGGCGGGCCGGGGUCGUCGUGCUCGUGCCAGCGCCGUGCGGUAGGUGCCCCAGCUCGCGAACGAUUUCGAGGGCAUUGAGACCUCGACUCUCGAGGGCAUCCAUCAACAAUGCUACCCAAUUCUGGACAGCAAAUAUUAGGGACACGAUUUGGGGAUUCGAACUGAUAGAAGAGGAAUCAGGGACUAGGAAUGAUAAAUUAGUCAAUACCGCCCGAUUUGUAGUUUAUAUUACACACAAGAUUUACAAUAUUUAGCACUAAAUACAUACUCCCUCCAUCACAAAAUACUAUUUACUUUGGAUUUUCUAUUUCCAAAACUUUUGAUAUUGAUCUAGAUGUAUGUAUGUCUAGAUACGUAGCAAAAGCUAUGUAUGUAGAAAAGUCAAAACGAAUAGUAAUUUGAGAUGGAGGGAGUACAUUGUUCUUAAUCAACCAAAGGAUUCAAUGGUACAUUAGACCUUGUGUCAUGUUUGUACUAUGCAAGAUCAUGCUGGGUCUUACGACAAUCGUGGCUUUGGAAGGACUAUAUAAGAUAAAGAAUGGUGAGUUGGUCCCUUUCUCUGAACAUGAGCUUCUCAACUGUGACUCGCUUCGUAUGAAUUUUUCAUUACAAAAUUAUGACUUACAUGAAGUGUUGUAUUAUUUUAAAAAACACAUAGCCACAUAGACAAGACAGAGCUUGUAGGAAGACAAGGGGGCAUGGCCCCCUCAUGUUCCAUCUAUACUCUUGUACACCUAUAUAUUAAAUUAGUUUUGAGAUUACAUUUAUUCAUGCGUAAAAUUGUUGUGGUUAUUGUGGCCAACCACCACUGGUACGGAUAAUGUUUAGAUGGCUAUCCGUUCUGGACUGCAAAGAACUAGGCCCAAUUAAGAUGAAGGUGGUUAUUAAAAAAUAAUCCAAAGAAUUAGGCCUAAUUAAGAUGAAGGUGGUUAUUAAAAAAUCCAUGAAGAUAGUGGUUAGAUGAUGUAUCAGGAGGCAUGUCACACGCCACCUUGGGGCCUACGCGGCCUAUCUAUUAGGCACGCGUUUCCUAUUAUACCGUUUAUGGUUUGUUGGUUGUCAUAUAUUUAUGAAUUGUUGUAUGCAUAGGAGUUUUAUCGUAUUAAGUGAACACAAACUGUAAAUGUCAAACUGCAAUAUCAAGGAGUGUUAAAUUGUUUUUCAUGAUCAACACAUAGUUGUAAUAAAGUGUUUUAUUGUAUGCUAAGGAGUAAUGAUCGGUUAAUCUUCAUACCUUAGUUCUAGCAAAGCAUUGCAGUGCUACUCUGCCCACUUCCAAAUAACCCUGUUAAAUUUGAAGCCACACGGUUAUAUGCCGUGCAUUUUACAUAUAAUAUGGGCAAAUACCCUUCUUAAAAAAAAAUAUGGGCAAAUACCGUAGUAGGGGACUGGAGCUCCUCACCACCUUCCAUUCCACCAAUCCACUAUCUUUUCCACACAGUACCACACGAGUCCUGGAAUGGAAGCGGAAGCAGUCCGAUGACGCCGUCGUCGUGGUACCAUACGUGCUGGCUUCCUGGGCCGAGCCAAUAGACCAUGGCCGCGCCGCGGCGCACACGCACAUCAGCACAUGCCGCGCGGCUUGACCCGGCGGCAUGGCCACUGCGCUCGCGGGCGCCGGGGCCCCAGGGCGCAGCCGCAGGGCCAGUUUCGCGCUCUUUUCUUACUUCGGCCUUGUUUACUUGUCAAUUUGGGAGUGGUAAAAUUGACAUUCUACUAUAAAUGCGACACUGUAGCAUUUCGUUUGUAUUUGUGAAUUAUUGUCUAAAUAUUGACUAAUUAGGCUCAAAAGAUUCGUCUCGCAAAGUACAACAAAACUGUGCAAUUAGUUUUUGAUUUCGUCUACAUUUAGUACUCCAUACAGGUACCGCAAGUUUGAUGUGAUGGGGAAUCUUCUUUUUGCAUAGUGCCAAAGUUGGGAGUUAGGGGUAAAGUAAACAAGGGCUUCUUCUUGACCACUCGGAUUUACUGCGCCGCAAGCGACGACCGUCGACCGGGUAGUGGGCACGGGCGCACGAGGCACCUGCUUUUGAGGCAGCCGAAAGGCUCCGCGCUGCACUGACGCCAGUCUGCACUCUGCAUCCCGUAGCUGAGCCUCGGCAUGCAAGCCAGAAAGGUGGGCUCCUCCUCCCGGCUUUUGGACACGCCAACCCAGCGCCGCAUCACUAGAAAUGGUUUAGGUCCGGUUUGAUUUGUCCGCACCCGAAUGUUUAGAUAUUAAUUAGAAGUAUUAAAUGUAGACUAUUUACAAAAACUCAUUACAUAAGUGGAGGCUAAACGGCGAGAUGAAUCUAUUAAACCUAAUUAGUUCAUGAUUUGACAAUGUGUUGCUACAGUAAAUAUUUGCUAAUGAUGGAUUAAUUAGGUUUAAUAGAUUCGUCUCGCCAGCCUCCACUUAUAUAAUGAGUUUUAGAAAUAGUCUACGUUUAAUACUCCUAAUUAGUAUCUAAAAUAUUCGAUGUGACAUGUGCUAAAAAUAAGCAAAAGUAACGGGGCCUUAAUCUAGUGUGCCACCCUUCCCGGCUAGGUGGUUAGUAUUGCCUAAUUGUAGUUGUAGGUUAGGGUUGUGGGUUUCUGCUUAAAACAACAAGUUUCCUGAAUUCCUGUCUAAUGUAAUGUCACCAAUCAUGGAAGCAGUACACUGUGAUGGUUGUGUCACGGAGGGGCAAAUCCCUUUCCGUAAUUGGCAAGAGCCCAGAGCCCUUGUGCAGGAAUUCAGAGAUGCGGAGUGCAGAGGCACCGGCCUCGUGCGGUCGUGCCUAGCCGCUUUCUUCCGUGAUGGCCGGGAAGUUUGUUGAAUUCGAGUAAAUCGAAGUAUACAAGGGUAUGCGAAUGCAUUUGGUUUAAAGACGUUAAACUCUAGUUCAAAUCGAUCGAACCUUCUUAUUGCACGAUUAAAACACAAGGAAUUGAACCACAAGAAUAGGUGAGCAAUUCGUUUAGAAAAAAGGACUAGGUGAGCAAUUCGCCUGUACGUAGACGAAAACCGAUGGAGUCGACGGAAUACGUGCACGCUAGCUAUGGCGGUUUUUGCAAUGGAGGUGAGGGGAUAGCUGGAUCGGUAUUUGUAAUGAAACAAAUUACAAGGAAUCAAACUCACCUAGCGUACUUCUAAGUUCUAACUAUGCAUCGUAUGUUCCUGCUAAAACAACUCGUUAUAUGAAGCCAUGGAACAAGUACACUGUGAUGGUCGCAUUACACAGGAGCAAUCAUCCUUUCCGUUAGUGGCAAAAGCUCUUGUGCUGUUUUCCUUUUCUUUUUUGAGGCAAAAAAGCUCUUUGUGGUGUUGUGCAGGAAUCCAGGGCCACAGAGGCUCAUGCCUAGGCGCUUUCUUCCGUAAUGGCCGGGAAGCUUAUUGAUUUUGAGCACUACUAGCAGUACUCUUCUUGUCCAGCGUGUGUUCUCCCGCCAAUGUUUUCCAAGCUUCUCCGAACCAGAGUUCUCUCAGGUACCAUACUGUUUCGCGUAAAAAUUUCUACAAAGUUUGUGCGCUUGAACUGUUCGCCUCAGCUUAUCAGCCGGCUUAUCAGCCACCGAACAGUGUUUUUCCCUCACAACAAAUCAGUUGUUUCAGCUUUUCAGCCGGUUUAUAAGUUCAGUCAAACAGACCCCAAAUUCGCCGCGACUUAUAUACUUGCAUAUUGUUAUAAUGCUAUUAGAUUAGAUGAUCGUUCCUGUGCAGUAGCAGAUAAAAGGGUGCCUAAUUUCCUAGUGACCGAUGUUUUAGACUGUUAAGCAAGUGUUAGGGAAACGAGACACGCAGACAUUAGCCAGAGAAACGAAGCCGGAGAGAGACGAAACGGAAGAAGAGUAGAAGACGAACACGACUAUACAACGACUCAGCAGCUGCAGCAGCAGACUGCCGCUUCCGCCCUGCACAAUAAAUCCAAGAGGCGCCGGAGGGACGGGCGCAGGCGCGCCGCAGUCGUCAUACUCCCCGAGACGCCGCAUUGGAUGCUCCCUCUACCCACUCUCGCCUCUGCCCCUCGCCAUUUUCGCUGAACCAAGCAGCAUUCCCUGGUUCUUGGUAUCCUCCUCCGCAAUCUCUGGUUCUGGAGAGGUAGCGCGGGAGCAAGGCUUUGCUUGGUUUCUGAAGAUGGGGCAGAGAAAGAAAAGCCAUGGUUCGUGAGGCAUCCGGGUUCCCUGCUUCUUGGUAGCCCUCGGCAUUGCCGUCCUAUCGUUCUUGGGGUGCAGGCUGGGGUUAAUCCGGCCAUGAGGAAGCACGGGUGGCAGCUGCCCUACCACCCUCUCCAGGUACGGUCCGCUCAGCGCGCGGGGUUGUACUUUCAGUUUCCAUUUUCCUCGCGAUGUUUUUGCUGUUCUUGCCACUCACGCAUUCUAUUGCUGUGCUCCGGAACCGACGAGCUGCAGGUGGUGGCUAUUGCCGUGUUCUCCGCACUGGGUUUCGCCUUCUAUGUCUUCUUCGUGCCGUUCGUGGGGACAAAGCCUUUCCAGAUUGUGGCCAUGGCUAUCUACACUCCACUGGUGAGGUCCCUGUCCUACUUGAGAGAUUAAAUUCACUAUUACGCAUAGAUCUGGCAUUACGUAUUUGUUUCGCUGGUCGCCCUCUCGCGUUCUACAGUUCUGGGUACUCAGACCAUCAGGCAUUGCCGUGCGUUGUAUUGUUUGAAACUUCUACCUUUAAUACAAAGAUACUGCGUAUUCGAGAAAAAAAAGUACUGGUAGAGAAUGUCAUCUGCUUUGCAUGUAUCUGUUGUAAAAGAAUGACGAUAUGACGUUGGUUAGAGACUAUAGUUAGUCACUGGGUGAUUGAACAAUUUUAUCUGGAGAAUGAUGAAUGCCUUCUUUUUGCAGAUUACAUGUGUUGUUGUGUUAUACAUAUGGUGUGCCGCAACAAAUCCUGGAGACCCGGGCAUUUUCAGUUCAACAAAGGAUUUGAAGUUACAUAAGCAUGAAAAGCACUCCAAUGUAAAUUCAGAUCAGGGAAUUAGUCAUGGAGGAAGGCCAUUAAGUGAGGCUUUUGGUACUGCUGAUAACAGUGAGAAGCUGAGCAGCAUGCUUGAGAGGAAGGAUUCACCCUCUUGGCCCAGAUUUUCUGGAAUACUUUGCUUGGUUUGUUUCCCAUUCUCAUACCUUUGCAAGCGAUGCCUCCAUUCAGAUAAUGAACCUUCAGAACAGAACAUAUGUGAAGAGGGCAUGUUUUUCUGCAGCCUAUGCGAAGCAGAGGUAUUGUUAACUAGUCCUUUUCCUAUUCAUAGUAUUGAGCUCAUAGUACAUUGCUAUUGGGCUGUUCAGUACAAACAAGUCUUGUUCAUGACAUGUUAUCAGAUGGGUUUUGUUUUGGAUUCUUUGUCUCAGACGUCAAUGAUUAAAAUGCGUUGCAAUUGCGCACUUCAUGCUGCUCUGUUUCAUCGUAUCGAGCUCAUACCUGAACAUGCUGUUCUGUUUCUUCAAGUUGUACUGGUCUGCGCACUGCACUACUAACUUAGGUCACCUACAAAGUAUCCAAAAAUUUAGUGGAAUUUGUAUAUUAAGUUUCACAUUUACUUUCAGCAAUUUAUGCUUACCCUGGCAUGUGCUUAUGUGGAGGGCAGGUAGGCAGUGCCUUCAUGUUUAGACCUUAAAUUUUGCUAAUAUUCAGUUUGAUUUUCAGUAGAGCGUUGACAGACUGCAAUGAAUCUAAUGUAUUAACUUUGUGAGGGCAACCCGUGAAAAAUUCAGAAAUUACUGUAACUAACUAGACUGAAUUCAGAGAAACAGGACGGCAAGUAGUUUGAAUCAAAUGUUCAUGUGUUUCCAGUUUCGUAAAUGAAUCCAUUUGUGAUGUAUAUGUUGCAACUUGGAAGUGUCUUCCAGUACCAUUAUUUGAGUGUCUUCCAGUUAUACAAGUAAAAUUGUCUUUCCAUCUGUCUAAUUACGCACUGAAUUUGUAAUUUGGUUAUAGAUGAAUGGAAAGUAUGGUGUUCUGAUGCAUUUGUGAUCUUGGUUUGUGACUUAGUAUCUUCAACGUUUGUGAUAUUUUAUAAAUAAUAGCAUAAGUUGUUUCCUGUUUGAAUUUGGAUGCCAUUGCGGGAUUUUGAAGAAUAGUAUUAUGCAGGUUUUAAAGAACAGUAAGCAUUGCAGAGUGUGUGACAAGUGUGUUGAUGGCUUUGACCACCAUUGCAGAGUAAGAUCUGUUUUUCUUAUUAUUUUCCCUGAUACUCAGAAAAGUGGUUCCUCAUGAGAAUUCUGGUCUUAUUUACUCUCAAUUCCUAAUGGGUAGUAACAAGUUUCACUGCUGCCAUUGUUCUUUUGUAGUGGCUUAAUAAUUGCAUAGGGAAAAGGAACUACAAAGGGUUCUUUGUUCUAAUGGCUUCUGCGGUUAUCCUAGUAAGUGUUGGUCUCUUGGGAACUGACAAGAAUUGGAAUUAAAGAGCAUUAUGCCAUUGAUACGUACACCUUAUAAUGACCCUUGUGUUAUUGCAUUAUCCUCCAGCAUCUGGGGCACUGUUUGUAGUUAGCAAUGUUGUUAUGUCUACUUUCUAUUCUGGUAGAUCAUUGACAGGUCUCCAUGAUCUGUACAAUUUGGUCCAGCUUGUGAUGCAGUGGUUGUCAGGAGCUCUUGUGUUGAUUCUCUGUAUUGUUAAGAGAGGAGAUUUCUCCAGGCAGAUUGUCACAAAGUUGGGAAGCAGCUUCUCAACUGUAGCUUUUUUAAUUGUUGUGGUGAGUUCAAUCAAAUUUUUUUUUUCCUUGUCUAAUACGUGGGCACUGCAUUAAAGUUCAGAGAUUCUGUUGGUGUCACUAAAAUGACACUGCUAUCCUUGAAAAACCGUUACAUGGUUGGUGAUAUGAUGUUUUAUUUUUGCAGGCAACUUGCACCAUUUUAGCAAUGGUUGCGACCAUACCACUCGCUCAACUUUUAUGCUUCCAUAUUCUUCUUAUCAAGAAGGUAAGUUGCUCUUGACGUUUAAUUGAAGACAGCUUGAAUAAUAGCAUACGAUGGCAACAACAGACAUGCUUGCAAUUUCAUAUUUGGCCCUCCUUAAUCUUGUUUACCCUGCUUCCAGAGUUAUAUAUGCUUGGUCACUACUAUUUUGCAUUGUUUCUUGGUCUACUGCAUGGAUAAUGUAAUGAAGCUCAAAUUAACUAUUCCCUUAAUUAGAAACAAAAAACACUCUUCCUUUGUCCCGGUGAUGAUAGCACAGAGCCGAUUGAAUUUUCUGCUGAAAUAAGUCAGUCGCAUACUACAAUAGGUUGCUAUAAUUGGUCGGAGAGUUUUGCAAGAAAAGUAGAAAACUAUGUGCAUUUGAACUUGUUCUUUUUUCCAUAUAGCUUGAGGUUAAAUAUUUAUAUAUCUUACCCAUUGUGUUCAGGGAAUUAGCACAUAUGAUUACAUCAUAGCUUUGAGGGAGCAGGAGGAUCAACAAGAGGUUCCUGGACAUCAAAGUCCACAGAUGUCUAUUAUAAGCUCUGUUACUGGAUUUAGCACAGCCAGUUCUUUUGGACCACUUCAUCGUGGUUCAUGGUGCACACCACCACGAUUAUUCCUAGAAGACCAGGUAUGUGAUAAUGGAUCAUUUCUGUCAAAACCUGAUGUAACAGAUAGGAUAAAGGUCCUGGAAGUCCUAAAGACAACACAACUUGAUAUGCCUCUAAUGAUAGAUCAAACGUUAGAAUCUUGCAUGUGCUGCCUCUUUAACAAGCUAAUUAUGCUCAUUUUUUUGUAUUUCUGAUGUAUUCGAGAAAAAAUAUGUAUUUCUGAUAUAAAGCUAGUUGAAACUGAAUAACUGAUUAGUAUCAAUAUGUGAAGCUGGCUGCUUAGAUUAUGCCAUCUGAUAUUCCAGCACUUGAACAUGCAUACGCUCCCUCGAGUUAUCAUGAAUAGUACAAUACGCUUCUUUUUUCCCCCACAAACAAGUAGCAUCAAUUAUCCUACUCCCAUCUUUAGAAGAAGAAAAAAAGAAAUUGUAACCAUGCAGCACCCAUUAUCGUACUCCCAUCUUUAAUUGUCGAUGCUUAUUGCUUGCUCUAUUCUUUCACAGUUUGAUGUUGUUCCUCCAGAGAUCGGCAUGUCACAGAAUUCAGGCAGUAAGAAAAUGAAAGAAGAGGAAGUAGGAAGGAGAAAACCUGGACCAGUGAAAAUCAGUCCUUGGACACUGGCACGCCUUAAUGCGGAGGAAGUUUCUAAAGCAGCUGCAGAGGCUAGGAAGAAAUCCAAAAUCCUGAAGCCAAUUGCAAAAUAUGAUGCUUCGGACAAUGGCAGUAAACCAGAUCAUAAGCUCAGCAACAAGAGACGACCAGACAGAAGAGGUUUCCCCGCUGAACUUUCUCUUGACCCUCUUGCAACUCUAUCUGCAAGUGGCAACGAAAGCAAUUUCAGUGAUGCAGCCAUGGAAAUCUCGGGCAGUUUAGCCCCAUUACAGCUUGAAGCGAGAAGCGCUUUCCAACCGAGUACUGCAGGAUCCGCCAGAAACAUUGUUUCGUCACCUGAAAGCAGCUUUGACUCGCCUGAUCUCCACCCCUUCCGCAUUUCUUCAUCCACAGCUGAAGAGAUGCAGGGAGUCAUAUCACAUUCAGCUCACAAGGGCAUUGAGUUCACAAGAUCAUCCAGCGAUGGGUAUGAAGCAUCAGGAGGGGAAGAUAGUGACUGCAUCCCAUCAAGAAUCGUGCACAGAUCGUCAAAUUGGGACAAUGUCAUUCUGAAUGCUGGUCAGGGAGGCCCUGCAGUUGAUCUGCACAUGCAAUCAUCUGAAGGGUUUGUUACUAACUUGAAGUGAAGCUAGCUUCCAGGCCGUCUCUGAUUUGCGAGUCUCUGAUUUGCGAAUCAUAUGAAACUGCUGGUGUUGACAGUUUCCGGCCUUAGGAUUCGUUUAGGUGCUUACUUUAUCUGAUUAUAUGUGGGGGAUUAGAAUUUAGAUUAAUUCUAGGUGCUAAGUUUUUCAGGUUUCAUGUCUGUAAAACGGUCUUGGUCGCUGGUUUAGCAUUCAAUUGUCAUUUUGGCAAAAUGUGAAUGUGAGGAUUAGUCUUUGUCUAAAUUUCUUGCUGUGCAGUCGGACCAUCUUGAACAAUCGAACUCGUUCUUCAGUUUUUUUUUUCUUUUUUGAAUCAUGGAGAGAUGAUUCCGCCUGGUGCCGCCGCACUUUUCAGGCCUAUUGGGCCACAGCCGUCACCGAGGGAGACUCCUACUUGGAGCUGUCAGUCGCUUCCUCGCUUCAGACCUUCAGUCGGUGAUGGGUAGGGUCGAGUGAUGUAAAGCAAAGCAGAAAUGCAAUGCUCACGGCUGCAUGUGUAGUGUGAUUUUUGCCUAAGAAGCACCCAGCCACGCAGGAUACAACACAGUGCUCUGCCAGUUCAUACCAACAGGGCAAGCUUAAGAGUUUCCUCGAUCCAUUCAUUUUUCAUGGGGUGAAUAUGCAUCCUGGUCUGUGGUCUUCACGAAACCAUCGAGUUGGAUUUAGUCUGGGGCUAUAAUUUACAAAGAACAAUCCUAUAAUAGGGAACUACAGCACAUAAGAGAAAUAAGGACCAGACAGACGCAAGCAUAGCCAUUUUGCUACUGCCACUAAAAAACAUCAUGUGCUAGUUACUACGCCACAAGCAACACACAGCAAAAAGGAUGCUAGACCGGAACCCGCUUUCCUCUGUAGCGGUCAAGGAACUGCAGGCAAGGGAAAUUGGGGUUGUCAGAAUGUGCAACAGGCCAAGCUUCUAUCUCAGGAACAGAUGAAGAACGUUAUGUGUCGUGAGGUCCUUACCGAUGUCACAAACGGUUGUUGAAAUAUCCAGCCAAUGAUAGGAAUCCUCUGCAAGAACACUACAAGUGUUGGCCAGAAUCCACUGCAAUGGGAUCCAAGUCAGUGUCCAGGUACAAGCAAAUUUUCUUUCAGGAACGAUUAGAAUUCUGGAAGAAACAAAUUGAUUUCGUGGCAUUUAAUCUGGAAGAAACAAAUUGAUUUUGUGGCAUUUAAUCUUUUUUGAGACCGUGUCUCAGCAAGUUGCAAGAAUUUUAAAAAAACACAGAAAAAGAAUCCAACCUGAAGAGUACAAUAAAGCCAUAUGCCUCUAAGAGCAUGCCGAAAAAGGGCCACCCGAUGAGGACUAGGAAAAAGCCAACACCAAAUGAGAUUGUACCCUGUUUAUUACAACAGCUGAUUAGAUAUUAGUCGUGUUUUCUAGUUAGUCAUGUUUAUGGGCAACAGCUAUGGAAAAAACAGCGAUUGAUAACCUUGUAAUUCUUAGGCUUGGUGAAGAAUUGCAUAGUUGAUUUUAGACCAAUUGUCAAACCCAAUCCUGACAGGAAAAGAAUCUGAAAUGGUAUGAUGAGAAAAGAUUAACCCUAGGCUCAGUAAGAUAACUUAGAUCUUCAUAAAAUUCAAAGGAACAAUACAAAACAGACGUUAACCUACAUUGCCCAUUGCGAUGAGCCCCUUGUCAAAGAAGAAAAUUAUUCCCAGAAAGGAGAAGAAUAUUCCAAAACCUGUCAGGCCAAGCCCAAUCUCUGUCCAAGAUGAAAAUCAGUAGUCGGAAUCACUGAGUGGGAGGAACAAACUGUAAUAUCUAAAUCGGUGAAUAUUCUUACAACACCAUAUGACAAGACAGGGAAUGAUGCUCUAUAACAAUACAAAAGAUUUUUCAAGCAAAAAUUUUUCACCAUGCUUUGAAUGUUGAACACUAUAAGUGUGGCACUGAGGACAGCUCCCUAUCCUAAGGUGGCUGAAUUUUACAUAAUUUUUUUAUACAGCCACAACACUCAAAAGGUGGCAUUUUAAACACAAUGAUUCUACUAAGGUUCCCGAAAAAUUGCUAUAACCCAGCCAGAGCAAGCUGGUUUCUAAGUGGCUGUUGACCAAGAUUAGCCGAUGGUUGAGUAUCUGUUCCUUAUUUGCUAUGGCCAAUAAAGGACAGGUACAGUGGUGUCACCCAAUCAGAACGAGCAUAGAGUCACAGACCUUACAGCAGUAUCACAUCUGGUGCUGUUUUCAACUAAAUAAUCCAAGUACCAUUCAGAGUUGCAGAGGUCAACCAGCAGCCCAGCGCUGAAGUUAUUUGUGUAAUAAGGUAAUGGAAUAGGCCUAACCAGAAGAAACUCUUAGAUUUUCACUCUGUAGAUCUUCACCCAAUUGGUACAGUUGGCCUAUAUUUCCAUUUAUUGAACCAACUCAGUUCAGAUUAGAUUAACCACAGUAACAAAUUUCUAGGGUAUCACACAUGUUACCUAGGGUUGAAUGCAUCCCUGUACUAGCUCUUUAUAAUAAACAUCCCCAACCCACCCUUCAAGAAAAGGACUGAAAUGAAGAAACAACCCCUGAUGCAAUAACUCUUAAUAUUAGAACUACUGGUUAAGUGAUGUUGCACAUAUCACACAAGCACAUAGUACAUGAUAUACCCUAAUGUAUCAUAGUCGACACACCAAAACUACUGUUUACGUGAUAUGGCAAGUGUUGCAUUUUAGUGCAAGCAUGUUAAGGUCAGAAGCAGAAACAAAGUAGAUAUAGCAAAGCAUAUACACAUUUACUGCACAGCAGUACAGUACAAGCAAUCGAUGCUCCUAUCAGAGACAAAUGGAACAAAAACUGGAAGACAAUUUGACAAGAAUGGUGACGUGUACAUACUCUUGAGGUCAUUCAUCUCGAAGGAAACCAUCUUGUUUUGCAAUGACACCGCAGAGAUCAGGGCAAAAGACUGCAACAGCGCGAAGUAUAAAAUUAGGCAUAGUUUGUGCAAACAGAGAUAGAACCGAAUAUGAAGUACUAACAGAGCUUCAGAGUCGGAGCUCAGAAGAAGAUCCGAUCCCUGCCCGAGUCAAUAGGCACUAGGCUUGAUCCCUGCCCGAGUCAAUAGGCACUAGGAGGAAGAAGAUCAUGUUUUAAGGGUAAGGCACGGGGCUAAUCGCCAAUAAUUUUUGCAAAAACAUAGAAUUUAUAGUAGGUAAAAUCAUGGUCAGAUCCGAAUACAAAUACCAUACGUUAGGGGUUUGGGUGUUCGAUUUCGAGCAGCAGGAAGGGAAGGGAGGGGAAUGGGCGGGCAUACCCUUGUCGGAUGCUCGUCGCCGGCAAAGCGCCCGACGAAGAACUGGCGGGCGGCGCCACUCGCCCUGUCGUCGCCGCUAGGAAAGGAAGGCCGAGACCGAGAGAGAGAGAAGGCGUGCGUGGCAGCGUAGCGUGGGAGAGAGAAGAGAGAGAGAGAGAGAGAGAGAGAGAGAGAGAGAGAGAGAGAGAGAGCGCCCGGCGGACGGGAGUACGGGACAGGCCCACGGCCCGCGUUCAGGUUUGGCUAGCGCGCGAGGCCUGCUUAAUUUCUUUUUCGUCCUCCUCUCAAAAAAAAUUUCCGUCUUCUUCUUUCUUUCACUUCUUCCUUUUUAUUCCAUCCCGUUCUUUUAAUAAUUAUAAUAAUUAAUUAAUUCAUAUAUAUAAAUAUAUAUGCCUUUCGACAAUUUGGAAUGUUUACUUAGCAUUUUGUGGAAGAUAUUUCAACAAUAAUUAACAUAUGUCCAGCGUUUCAUGUUAAAAAUGUUGAAAUUGUAGUCUCAAAAUGCUGAAAUUUUAAAUUCCAAAUGUUGAGAUGGUACAUUAAAAUUUUAUUACUUUAAAAAUCUAUUAAAAUUUAAAAAAAUCUAGGUCAACAUUCUAGAAUAGCUGGUUGAACAUUUUACAAGAAAUAGUUGUGUUGAAGCCAUUGAUUUCAUUUGGUCCAGCAUUCACGAUUGUGCAUUUUAUAAGAACACCGAUGUUCAUUUUCAUUGAUUUCAUUAGUAAAAAAUAGUUGUGUUCAAGCCAUUGGCUCAACAUUCACGAUUUAUAAGAAAAAAUGUUUAUUUUACUACUAUGUACAAAGCACUUUGUUAGAUUAAUCCCGUAUACAGAAUAUCAACAUUUUACUUCCCCUAACAUUCAAAUUGUGAAUUCAUUGUAUAGUACAAUUGUUAUUUUUUUCCAUUUUAUCAUAAGUACACUUUAUGUUUUGAGAUCCGAUGUUAUAAAAACAUGUAUGACUUAAUUAUUAAAAAACAUUUUGGUAAUCUUUUAUGAUAUAACAAAUAGUGAGGGUAGUAAAAUGCACCACAUAUUCCAGAAACCACCUAGAAGGUUGUUGUAGGUUAAUAUGAAAGGAAGGAUGAGAAAAUUGCAUAUUUGCCCUCACUUUGACCUCCAACUACACAUUUGCCUCUCUCUCUGUUUUUUUUUUACUUUGCGUUACUGCCCCUGCUUCGACGAAGUCAAUGCACUGUUGCCCCUUAUUUUGCCUACUUUGACAGAAAAAUUGGUAAAACUAAAACAACAAAAGCAUAGUCAAACGAUGCAAUGCAAAAGUUGAAAAAAGAAAGAUGUUAAACGUGUAGUUAAAGAUCAAAGAUGGGAUAUAAUUGCAAAUGGUGCAAGAAAGAUCAGUAGUAAGCCAGUAAAGUUCUUUUGAUCUUUUGCGCCCGUUGGUACAAGGGUACUCUAGUUUUUUUUAUAAGCAUAAAAGAUUUGCGUUUCAAUUGAAAAAAAUUCAAAAUUUACAAGUCAUUGUACUGGCACAACGGCCAAAGGUAAAGGUUUCUUGCACCAUUCCCGGAGUCUCUCUGUCCCGCUCCUUUCCCCCCUGCUCAGUUGCUCUACCAAGUCGGGCAACCCCGUCUGCCCUCGCCUGAUCACCUCUGCCUCGCCUCGAAUCCCCCUCCUUUCCCCUAUCUUCACCUCACCAGCUCACCUCACCGGCGUGCGGCGUUGAAGCCAGCCUGACCCAUGGGGGUUUCCUCACGCACCCAGCUCCUCCUCCUCCUCGCGAUCUCGUCGGUUCUCGCCUUCAACCACGCAGCGGCUGCCGGCGCCGUCUUCGAGGUACGCCGCAAGUUACCGCUCCACUGUGGCGGGGGAGGUUGCCAUUACGCGGAGCACGUGGAGCACGAUGCCCGUCGCCAAGGUCGCCGCCUCUCUCCCGGCACAAAUUUCCCACUCGGCGGCAGCCCGGCAACAGAAACUGGGUAAAGUAAAAACCCCACGUGCACGCCGAAUUUUUGGUACGGCUAUCUAGGGCACUUCCAUGGGUGUGGUAAUCUGAUCUCUGGGAUGCGGCGUUGCAGUCUGUACUUCGCUGAGCUCACAAUUGGGAAGCCGCCGAAGGCAUACGGCAUGGAGGUGGACACCGGCAGCGGCAGCGCCCUGGUGAACUGCGUCACCCGCGACUCCUGUCCCCGCGAGGACAUCAGUGGGGUAUAGCUCUCUCCAUCCUGCUGUAGCAGAAAUUGUAUGGCUUGAUGUACUUAAUAAACGCUACUGAAAAAAUUAGUAGGAUGGAACCGCCUUUCAACCAAUCAAUACAACCUCGUAGAGAAGCUUUGGCUAAAACUCUAGCAGUUUCUUGAAGCUUGCUUUAGAUAUUUAGAAUCUUACUCCCUCCGUCCCAAAAUAUAGCUACAUUUAGCUUUUUCAAAAGUCAAAUCUUUUUAACUUUGACCAAUAAUACCUCUAAAAAUAAUUUAUUUCAAAUAAAAAAGAUUUCAUAUUAUAAUAGUUGGUUUCAUGAUAAAUCUACUAACAUAAUUUUUAUGCUAUUAGUCUCUUUGAUUAUUUCUCUAUUCGCAGUCAAAGUUGAAAAUAUUUGACUUGAAAAAAAUCUAAAUGUAGCUAAAUUCUGGGACGGAGGGAGUACCUAUUUGAGUACAGGGCGUUGCUCAGAGUGUUGGCAGCAUUGUGGAGAGAUUGCCAUAAUUUGAUUGUGUUGUACUAGCUUUAUGAUAUCUCGUCAAGAUAUAAGUUAGAAAUGGAUGUGAUAUGAACUAAAGAGUAAGAAAUGUGGCAACGGUGAUCCUUGUUAAGUUACCAACUGAUCUGUGAAAACAAAUUUCAAAAUAGGAUUACCACAACAAUAUAUGUCGUUGUUGACGAUGCAACUAACUAGAACUGCCGUGCUAUGUAUCUAUGUGUUGUAACUACUUCUAGAUAUAUAGGCAUGCUGGUUACUAUUUUUUAAUAUAAACACUGCAGUUGUUCUAACAAAAUGUUUGAUCUUACAGAUGGCCUGAGGAGUAACCACACAAUAUAUUUGUGACAUCAGCCAGUACGCAGUUGUGAUAGCCUAAACUACACUACCGGUUGGUGGCUAGAACAAGUACUGUUUUAUGCUUUUGACAUUAUAAUUAGUACGGUUUGUGGCUUCAACAAUACGUAGCAUUAGUACCGGUUUGAACCUUGCCCCAACUGUUGAACUGGUAUUGAUGCUACCAUCUGUAGAGGUUCUUGCACAACUGGUUCGAUCUGAUAGGCAGUGUAGUAGUGUGGAUGGCUGAACAGCUUUAGCGUUCUAGUUUUUCGUUUCUGCUGCUGUCGGUGUUAGUUAGGUCUAAUUACCACUACUAAUGUUGUUCCGUGUUCAGCUGGCAGCAACUGGGGAAGCAAGCCUCAGAUUUUGCCCUUUGUUUGGACACUUCCUAUGGUGCUGGGGUUGUUGCGACUGGAAAUAUAGUGUGUCCCGCAAUUCUGAAGACCAGCUUGGUGUCCAACAGGUAUGUCAUCUACUCAUCUUGAGUAUAGGGUUGACAUAGUUUAGUGACUGGCGUUUAGGAUGGAUUUUGAUUUCUACAUCAGUUAGGAGCCACAGUUAGGAUUUUGACUAACAUCUUUGGUUAGCAUGUACUACUGUUUCAGAAGUGAUUCAUCCUUUUUGAAAAAAAUACAUGUAGGCUACACUACGUUGUGAAUAUGAAAUCAGUAUCAGUUGCUGGCACUACACUAGACCUGCCCAGAAAUACUUAUUAUGGCGAAGGGAAAAGUGUUGCCAUUGACAUCGGGACGACAUUGACGUAUCUGCCGGAGAAGGUUUACAAUGCCAUGAUGAUUGAGGUAAAAAAGAAUACUUUUGCAUCAAUCUUCAUGCUGAAAAGAAAUGUCCUGAUCGAUUUCUUUUUGACCUUGCAGAUUUUUGAUAAACACCAAGGCACCCUUUUCUAUGACAUCCAGAACCUUCUUUAUAUCAAACAUUAUGGAAGGUAUGCAACGCUUUUAGUUAAUUUAUGCUAGCAUGCUGUAGUUCUAGAAUUCUGAUUUUUUGUAAUCUUUCUGUAGAGUGGAUGAUGUGUUUCCUGAAAUCACCUUACAUUUUGAAGGCGGCCUUGCAUUGAACAUUUAUCCACACGAUUACCUUUUAAAUAAUGGGGUAACAUCUUUUUUUCCUAGCUUUGGUAAUAUUGCACCUUGAUGUAACUAGUCAUUAUAUGGUUAAGAUUGCAUUUUAUUCCGGACAGAGUGAUUGGUACUUUGUGGGGCUGCGAAAUGGAAGAUCUCAACCUGUUAAUUUAAGAGACAUGGUGAUUCUAGGAGGGUGGACACUAUUUGUCACUAUAUCGUUCCUUGUUUGCUCCAUAUCCAUUUUUUUGAAUCUAAUGACACUAAACCUUCUUUUUAGAUAUGGCCUUUUCAAAUAAGCUUGUCGUCUUCGACUUGGAAAACGAAGCUGUCGGAUGGAUGGACUACAAAUGUGAGUUUCUCCACCUAAACUUUCCACUUUCGAUCAUUACAAAGUUUGGCUUUCAAUUGAGGUUUGUUAUAGUUACUUUUCAAAAAAAAAUGUUAAUUUCUCCAACCUCCGACCUGGCACAUCUCCGAAUCAGUCUCAUGUACGGUUUAUUUGGAUACAGGCUCCUCCGGCAUUAAUCUUGAAGAUGAGUGAAAAGUUGAGAGCCAGACUUCAAUGGUCCCGGUUGUUAGUUCAGUGAUGCAGGGUGGCUAGGCCGCAGUGAGACUGAGAGAACUCUGUUUGAGAACACUAUCGUAUCUGUACUGACAGUCUGAUGUGGCAACAAUAGCAGUGAGUUGAGUGAGGCGUGCUUAAUGCUCUUUGAAUUCUUUUAUUUGAGAAUGCGAGGAUGCGUAUAUUUCAUUAAAAAUAAGCUAGUGUCAUAAAAUGACUAGAAGCAACCUAAAGCGAAAGCUUGGAAUUAAGACUUGAACUAGGACCUAAGCAGUAAGGAGUAAGGCAACAAAAAGGUACCUAUUUGCAGUAAGCAGUAAGGUAACAAAAAACCACCUAUUUUACAAAAAUGCAUGUUCAUCCAUUUUUUGAAAAGAACAGCAAUAAUUGCCAAUAGGACAGCUAGAGGACCAUAAACACGUUUUGUUCUAUGUUCAAUUGUUUCCUACUGUUAAUCUAUAACAUAGCAACCGCAACCUCGUGAGCCAAUGAUGGACCAAAUCUCCAGAAUGAACCUGCAACCUGCCAUGAGAAGAUCUAAUGUCACAAUUUCUUGAUUGCAUAAAGCACAGGCCCAUUAUUUGGUAGGUUAUGCUGCUGGAAUAUUUCAGAAGUCCAAUAGCUGCCCGAAUAUUUGACAGAAUAGGGGGGUGUUACAUCAUCUCAUCAGCAUGGAAUAGUUGUCCCACGCAUCUUUAUGUUCAGCAUUCCGGAAGCCCCAGCAAAUGCUCUUUGAAUUCAUACAUAUAAUCCAGCCAUUCAGCUUGAACGAAGAUAGAUACAGCAGCGAGGCCACACUUCAACGGGUAGUGGUGUCAGGCAGACAAAUUGCAAUCAAUAAUAAUCCAUAGAUGCCACUGCCAGGUUGAUUUUGCACCUGAUUCCUACUGGACUACACGAUUACAUUUCAAACUCAACGAUCAGAGUUCAGAACGAAAAUGUGGCUGUAAACGCGCUUGGUAAUUCAGACCCGUUCGGCCUCAGGGCAUUGCUCGAGGCUAGCAGAUAGAGACCAAUGCUGCAUUGAUCUGCAAAUCUUAGGGACAGAUAUCCCGGGUGUAUCUUGACACGCAUCACAGCAGACGAACGGAACAUAAUCCUUGCUCAGAGACACAAAUUGCAGGUAAAACACAGCACGCACUAAAGAAAGCUAUUCAUCGAUCGAAGGACAGGAACUGCAUAGAUGCAGACCAAAGCCACAGGCUACAUCAGCCUUCACACCAAUUCCAGAUGCAGGAAAAAUAGAAAACGCAAUGGCUGCCCGGGGCAGCGCUCACGCCGCCUCGCCCUCAGCCGCGGCGGGGGCGGCCUCCUCCGACGGCGCCUCUGCCUUGGCGUCCGCGGCGCGGGACUUGACGAAGUCGAGGAGGCGGCGGCUGACCUCCUUGGAGUAGAACUGCAGCGCCUCGAUCCCCUCCUCCACGGAUGCGGCGGCCCCGCCUGUGGCGGCCGCGGCGUCGAAGGCCUCGGCCUCGAUGGCGCGCGCCGCGGGCUCGGCGUCGGCGGCCGGCACGGCGCCGUAGCGCUUGCAGAGGAUGGUGUCCCCCGCGAGCGUCUCCACCAGGCGCCGCACCACGGCGUCCCGCGUGCGCUGCGUCGGCGGCCAGAUGCUGAACGAGAACGCGGCGGCGGACUGGUCGCCGGGGGCCGAGGGGGCCGGGGCCGGCGCGGCGGCGAGCUCGUCGGUGGCCAUUGGCGUGGAAGCUUCUGGAAGCUGGAAACCCUAGGGAGGGAUGGGUAUGGACGGAGGCGGGGGGAAUGGGGAGCUCGAUCCGUUCGGUACUGGGCUGCGGCCUGCGGGGAUUUAAAAGCGGUGGCGUGGCUUCGGUGACGCGUCCUUGUAAUUGAGGAUUUGUUCGGGUAUUGCGGUGGCUUCAAGAAAGGGAAGUGCGAUGCGAUGGCAAUCGACAACGAAACGGCCAGAGCCAUUAUCGAUCGGUUGGUGGCUCCAACUCUACUCAUUAUCAGAUCGGGUGGUGGCGAGGCUUCGAUGCUCGUUUCGUUUGCUUUGACCAAUCGUUUCCCCUUUUUUUUCUCACGGUUUGAAUUUGAAUUCCAACGUUCAGAUCAGAUCGUCGUAAAUGGUAGGAAAUCGGGAUGAAUGCGGGUAAAUAUAUGGAUUCGGUGAGUUGGCAAUGUAUAGUCGUGGAUAUUCCUUUUCAAUUUGAGUUUUGAAUUUCAAGUUUUCAACGUUACGUUCCAUCCGGGAAUGGUAGGAAAUCUUGAUAAAUGCGAGUAAAUGCUGCGUUCUGAGUGGUGAUGUCCAAUAAAUUACUGAAUCAUUUUCGGAUCUCUGUGUUUUUUUUGUUGAGAUUAGAGUAUUAGACUAUUCGAGUGGCAAUUUCUUUCCCGUUGGCAGUAGCGCGAACGCUCGACGUGCCGAUCCCACCGGAGGCCGGUGGCCAUCACAACGCAGCAGCGACAGCAUUGGGCCUCGUUCUGUACGCUCUCGUACAGCCCCUGCCUGUCUGACUCUGACGGCCGGGGUGCCGGGCCGAACCUGCCCGAGCUCCGCCGAACGCCGUGCACUCGGCCGCCGCCGCACACCCGGGCGAUCGCGGCUGCGGGCCGUGCAGGUCGCAAGCCGCAUCACGGUCGGGUUCACGUCCUGCCGUCUCUCGCGGGCCGCGUCAGCCUCGGUGCCUCGUUCCCGUGGACGACCUGCAUCCACUGAGCGACCGCACCGUACCGGACGGACCAUGCUGCCAGUGCCGCACACCUCCACGCCACGCGCACCUGCUGACAUGCAGCCUGCAGCCGACGGCUGCGCCUGUUGUCUUGUAGUGUCGGUGGCGCAAGCUGGCAGCAUCCGCUUCUGGCUCUGCUUGUCCGACGAUUUUCACCGCACUCGCCGCUGCUCCGGCAUGAGCCUGAGCAUAUGCGCGUCUGAGACCGAAGGCGGAGCCAUCUUGUUUUCCGUUCUUGAUCGGGUUUGGUGAUCCUAGCAAGUUCCUGGAUGCUGUCACAGCUUGUGGCAAGGUAGCUUGAGGUUUAAGCGCCUUUUUUUCGCAGGAUGACAAAUGUUGCGCGUUUGGUUGUUUGAUAAGAUUUUUUGAAAACCCGUGUCCUACAUCCUGGGGUGAGCAGAUGAAGGCUGAGGGAGUGAGGGUUGGAAAUUCUUAUUAAAAAAAAUGUUUUGUUUAAUUUGCAUGAGCUGAUUUAAAAAAUAAUGAGAUUCUGUUCGAUUAGGCACACAAUCGCGGGGGUUCGAUCGCCCCUCCUUAGAUCAUUGGCACGUAGAUGGAAGUUGCAAUCAUCAAGAGGCAGAAGAAGCAGUGGUUGCAAUCAUCUCACUAAUUAUAUAUCUAUUAAUAAUUCCUAAUAGAAAGAACACAGCAUGGCACCUUCAAAAUGAAAAAGUAAUGCUAACCUACUCAAAUCUCAAAGGUUAUUUGCGAGAAGAACCAUAGACUCUAUAAUCUGUACUGAGACAAGAAUCUUUAGGUUGGAACUUUAUCAGGGUGGCGUCACUAACCUCGGUGAGUUCAACAAGUUGCUCGAACAAAAUUUCAAAGGGCCUUAGCUACUAUAUAAAUGAAUCUACGCCUAGUAUAAGUGUGAGAUUCUUUAUAACACGUCAAAAUAAGCGGUACUGGAUGAUCGCAGUUCUACGAUGUCGCAGAAAUUCCUCGCUUAACUCGUACCCAUCCAGCAGGACAAUGGCAUUUUUCCAGAUCUCGCCCAACUCUAACCCGGUACACCCUGCCGGUAUCCUCGCAAACUCCACCCGGGAUAUUCCGUGCAACCUCAGUUACCCGCUCCGUUCCCCGACGAAAAGCUCAAGAUCCGGACGUACAUGCCACGCCUGAGGCCUGACCGCCUGACGCCUCGCCACCCAGAGAAGAAGCUUCCUCUCGCCGUCGGCCACCGGUAUCCGCGCCCGUCCAACCCCGCGCCCGCACCCCGGCGCGGCACGGAUCCCACCGGCCCAAGUCAGAACAGCAGCUGCGCCCGGAAAUCGCCCGCCUCCGCUCUGCUCCGCCCACCAACACACACGACACCGCUGCCCUCCCUCCCGCCUCGCUGCCCACCUCCUCGUCGUCUGAUCGCCAUCGCCUCGGCUAGAGAACCCGCGGUCCACGCUCCCCUCGCUCCAAAUCCCGUCGCCAUAAAUCUCGCCACGCCCUCGCCCGCGCGCCCCCCUCCUCUCUCUCCCCAUCCGUCCCCCCGCUCCCGCUCCGCCGAGGAAGAGCAGCCAUGGCGGGCUCCGAGCAACGCGUCGUCGCCGUCAUCAUGGUUGGCGGCCCCACCAAAGGUCAGUACAGCUGCUAGAUCUGCGCGCCCACUGGGAGACAAACCCCUCACCUCGCUGCGCGCCGCGCGAACUCGCUUGCCUGAUGGAUUGGCGGCCCUGGUGCCGCUUUGUCUGGUGCAGGGACGCGGUUCCGGCCGCUGUCGCUGAACGUGCCCAAGCCGCUCUUCCCGCUCGCCGGACAGCCCAUGGUGCACCACCCCAUCUCCGCCUGCCGCCGGGUAAGCCGCCGCCAAUUCCUUCGUCCCCUCCUCCUCUGUGGAAUCGUGGUGCGUUCGUGUGUUGCUGUGCGCGCGGUUUUUUUUAUGAGAGAUGAGCUUUUGGAUACCGAUGCUGUGCAGAUCCCCAACCUGGCGCAGAUAUACCUCAUCGGAUUCCACGAGGAGCGGGAAUUCAAGCUCUAUGUCUCGUCUAUCUCCAACGAGCUCAGGAUCCCCGUCAGGUUUGUUUCGAGCCCUGCUAGCUGUUUGCUUCCGGUGGGUUGGCUUGUGCGCGAUUGGAGAUUUGAGAGCAGUGCCAUUGAGAGCGUGUUGUCAAUUCUAGGUACCUAAGAGAGGAUAAGCCGCAUGGGUCUGCUGGAGGGCUCUACAGCUUUAGGGAUUACAUCAUGGAAGACAGUCCGGUAAUGCCUUAUUGAUCUAGCUCGAUUGUCAGCUUGAAUUGUGAAAUUGGAUUAGAUAUUUAGAUUUAUUUUCUAGGGUAUUGUUUGCCGAUUCAGAACAUAUGCAGUUGCUGGGAUUUUGUAUUACAUUGUUAAGUUGGGUUGAUCAAGAAUUCUUCAUCCUCUAAAGCUUAGUUUUUUUUUCUGGUGGUUUUGCAGUCACACAUAGUUUUGCUGAACUGCGACGUCUGUUCUAGCUUCCCCCUGCCCGACAUGCUGGGUAAGUUGCCAAGUAACUGAAGUAUACUCUCCCAGCAUUUUAUCAUGUUGGUUCGCAUUAUCAGUUUGGUGAUGAUGUUUCAUGAUCUUAGACGCGUUCCUCUAACCACAAGCAUGGUUAGUGUAAUAAUUGAAUAUCAUGAGCUUGAGCUUUGCUGUUCAGAACUAUUACUGAAUCCAGUUGUCAUCAAGGUCAUGUCUGAAACUGUUCUUGUGCCCCUGAUGGAGUGUAGUGUGAGCAAGUGGUAGGAGGUGUAGUGGGUUAGUGUUGAAUAAAGCUGAACCGUGGGGCUUCUCACUGCUAGCUUAUUUUUGACAUAAUCAUUGGUUACAUACUUAAAGUGAUGCAAUCGCCUCUGAUGUACCUAUUGUAGAUUACGCGCUGUUCAAUCUUGUGGUAUGGCAGUUGUACGUCUCACUACUUAAUUUUAAAGUAUCGUAUAGAGCAUAUAUGAUGACAAAAUGAUCGGUCAUUAUGGGAAUAAUAGUUAAUAAGUCUGGUAUUCAAUUUAGUUGAGCGUGUUUUAAACUUACUUUAGUUGCGCAUAUUCAAUUAACCAUUGGAUACUAAAUUCUUUUUCACAACAGGGUAGACUUUCCAUUUUCAUUCAUCCGAAUUCAUGAAUAUCUAUCUCUGACAUAACUCAGAAUAUGAAACAGAUAUCUUAGCUUCUGAAUUUUUGUGAACUAAUACUUUUCUGUAUAGCUGCACAAUAACUUGUGAACUUAUAUUGAUGUUCCAUCUAUAAUUCUGUUCAUUGAUAAGAUGGACCAUCUGCAUAACUUCUGCAGUGUUGGUCAUUAUUGGAUACCAACAGCUAAAUUUUUCACUGUUCUCGCCAUUGCAGAGGCCCAUAAAAAGUAUGGAGGAAUGGGUACUUUACUAGUCAACAAGGUACGAUAAUACUAUUCUGAAACAUUGCAGAUUAAUCUGGUCUUUCUCAUGCAUAUUUGUUACUCCUAAUAUCAUCCCACUUGUAAUAGUAUAUGCUUACACAUUAAAUCAGGUAUCUGCAGAGUCAGCAAACCAGUUUGGCGAGUUGGUAGCUGAUCCUGAAACAAAUGAACUUCUGCACUAUACAGAAAAGCCUGAGACUUUUGUGAGUGCAGUUCUGCUCUUUGUUGUUUAAUUUGCUCCUCUAUAUUUUUAGUUGAGACUUUGCAUGCCAUAUUUGGAUUUAAAUCAAUCGCAACUAUUCACAAGUAAUGGUUCUCAAUGAAUAAUUAGCAUAGCUGAUGGCACUGAUGCAGUUUAUCUAUCUGUAGGUGAGUGAUCUCAUAAAUUGUGGAGUAUAUAUAUUUACUCCCAAUAUCUUUAGCGCCAUUGAGGAUGUCUUAAAACAGAAGAAAGACAGAGGUAUUGUCUGCUGUUAUCUAUUAUGGCUUCUUCCAUUGGAAAUGUAUGUUAUUGUUUAAACAGAACAUUCUUGUUUAUUAUAUGUCUUCAAAUGCUAACAUAUCUUAAAGAAGUAGAUGAGUAGAUGUAAAAUACCAUCUUUAUUUUUGUUGCAAGUCACAUGGAAAAAGUAUUAUUUUCUUCACCUAUAUUGAUAUUUUUAAUUGUUAGUUCUAACACGGAUGUUCUAAAAUGUGCUGCUUGUAGUAGAUAUUCUAACUUGGUCUUCUUAGUUCCCUUGAUUGACACUUUAUAUUUCCACCAUAAAGCUUAAUCCCUUAAAUUGCUACAUUUCAGCAAACUUGCGCCGUGUAUCUAGCUUUGAAGCUCUUCAAUCAGCAACCAAGUAUGUGUUUGUGAUAUAUUCUUCUAUUCAUGUUUAUGCACAUAUUCUUAUUACAAAACUUGUUUGGCAUACAGUUAUUACCUUUGGCUUCUCCAUUUUUGUUGUGGUUCAUUAAAAACUUGUAGUUGAUAGCACUGCCAUAAAUUCAAUUACAAAGUAUUUAUUGCUAUGUAAACCAUCUUAUAAGUUUAAUGCCAACAGGGCACUUCCAGCAGACUUUGUUAGGUUAGAUCAAGAUAUUUUAUCCCCUCUAGCGGGAAAGAAGGAGCUGUACACAUACCAGACACUCGAUUUUUGGGAACAGAUCAAGACCCCAGGGUAUACAGAUAUUUUUUUAUCCUGCUUUUCUUUAUAUUGGAAUUUCUGACUAACCAUUGCUUCAUCUUGAGUAGGAUGUCUUUGAGAUGCUCUGGGUUAUAUCUUUCUCAGUUCCGCCGUACCUCUCCUCAUCUUUUAGCUUCAGGAGAUGGCAUAAGGACUGCCACUAUUGUAGGCGAUGUGUACAUCCAUCCAUCAGCCAAGGUUCAUCCUACUUCAAAGGUAAUGUCCGUUUCAUCUACCUAUUUUGUUCAGAUUGUCAUAGAUCAUGUUCAAUUGGUUGUUGUUGACUGAUACUGAAAUGCUUAAACUUUUUAAUAGGAAUGUAUUCAAGAGACGAAAUGUAGCUAACCCUGUAACUCUGUAAACAGAUCGGUCCCAAUGUCUCUAUAUCAGCAAAUGCGCGUGUUGGAGCUGGUGCCAGGCUUAUCAAUUGCAUAAUUCUGGAUGAUGUUGAAAUUAUGGUUAGUUUUCUUUUUCUCUGUGCCAAGUGGUAAACCAUAUUUAGGAAAUAUCUCAUAGUUGUUUUCUUUCUUUCUUUUUUGUUUGUGUAUCAGGAGAAUGCAGUUGUUAUACAUUCAAUUGUGGGGUGGAAGUCAUCCAUUGGAAAAUGGUCACGUGUACAGGCAAGCUUUUCUCUUUAUCAUUCAUUUUUAUCCAGUUUCAAAUUUAAUGAAUCCUCAUUUUCUAUAAAUCUUAAUAACUUUACCUUAGAACAAUUUGUCAAGAUAACAUCAGUUGGCUUAAUGUAAAUAUAACUUCUGUUCUGAAUUCAGGGCGAAGGUGAUCACAAUGCCAAACUUGGUAUUACUAUUCUUGGUAAGACCCAAACUGGACAAUUUACUGUUGCUUUCACACAGAAAUCUUGGUGAUCAUUUCGUUUCUGGAAUUGACAUCCUAUAUUAACGCAGGUGAAGCCGUUGAUGUUGAAGAUGAAGUAGUUGUAGUUAACAGCAUUGUGCUCCCAAACAAAACUCUCAAUGUCAGUGUCCAAGAGGAGAUCAUCCUAUAACGGCCACCAUUUUUUUUCUGUUUAUUCCAAAUAAGGUCUGAAUACCAAUCACGUAGUUUCUGUUUAUUUGUUCUCACCACAUAAGCUUCCGUUAGAUUGAGAUUAUUAUUAGUCUGUAUUUGUACCCUUCUUGCAGCGUGAUACGGCACAAUCUUCAUGACUUGUUAGGUUGGCUAGUGUGGUGAUGUAGAAAAUGUACAAACAGUGAUGCCAUUUUUGUCGAGAAUGAACACUUUACCAUCAAAUGUCAGUUGUUCACCUGCUUGUUGUCCUUUGGAGUUUGGAUAUCCUAGUCAUCAGGUGACGCCAUUUUUGUUGAAAAUGAUUCAAUGGACACUUUGCUUUUAAAAGUCAGUUGUUUGCCUGCAUGUUGUACUUCCGAGUUUGCAACACCAUUUAUUUUCAUUCUUACUAAGCUAAUGCAAAAUAGCACUUAGGCCAAUUGUAUCUUCAGGUGGGCGCAUAAUUACAUUAUCCAAUGCGCUUCUCUAUGUUCACUGCCUUUCAGAUAACAUAUAUGCCACACGGUUCGUCAGUGCUUUCAGAGCAUUAAUUCAGUGAAAUGUGCAGACAAUGCUACUGGUUUGGUUGUAGUGCUAACCUCUGUACAAAAGCGCUUCAAUUGCGUACCAAAAUACCAAUGCGUACUGCCAAUGGGACGGGAACGGUAAGACCAGUAGCAGCUAUUUACAAAGUUGGGAAUGACACAUUUCUUGACCGAUUUAAAUUAUCCUAUGACCAAAAUAUUUUCAGCAUCACUUGCAGAGUUACUCCAAAAACAUUCUCCAGUCUUCAAGCUUCACUUAUUGCAGUCUUCAAAGAAAGAUGCAGGAAUUUCUUGUGGCGAUACCAUUGUCGACACACACCCGAACUGUAAACAUGUUUAAGCAGACAAAUUUUAACAGAAUACAGCACGCAGAAAACAACAACAAAAUUGAGAUAAUGGAUGUACCUUGGGGUCCUCGUACUUCUCUCUGAUUGCUUUCUGGUCCGGGCACCGGAUGCUCAACUGCAGUUCAUGUAUGAUGAAAAUGGAUUUCUGCAGAUCAAAGGCUUUAUAUCCCGUGUUACGUUGAAGCGUCAAGUUCUGGAAAAUCACGCACAAUAAAGUCAGAAAAAAGAGGUGUACAAACUAAUGUCAGAAAAGUAUGCAGCUUAGAUACAGUUGACAAUAAAGGCCAUGUUCUUACCCAAGGAUGAGUUCUUGGGCGGAUUGUGAACCUGGCUACAAACAGACAGGCAGCAGCAAGUACUGAUGGUAGAUAGCUUAUGCAGUCAUAGUCCAGCAAGCUCAAUUCUGCGAGAUAGCUACACAUGGACUCCAGUUUUUCGCUGCUUGUGCGCUGAACUUUCAAGGGAAAAAAUAGAUUAACAAAAGAAUAUAUAGGAAAGUACAAGUGGAUACUCCAAAAGUACACUUACAUUGCCUCCACGACAUGAAGCUAUGAAUCGCCUACAGCAGAUAGUUGUCAAGUAUUAGACUCUGAAAUUUGUUAGCACAGUAAGGCAAUAAUAGGAUUAUCACAAGAUUUAUGCAACACAAUUCACAUAUGUCGACCCCUUUUACAUUACCAGGGGAAGUUAUGUGAAAUGUGAAGCUCGUUCUAAGUCAAAAAAAAAUGAAGAAGACAUACCGUAGAAAUGUGGUUACAGUGGGACCCCCAAUCUCAAAGUUAAGAGAUUUCAGUAAGUCAGCCUCCAUCUUCACCACCUUUAUUGCACAUAAAACAGAAAUGUGUGCCUAUGAUCCAUGGCCCAGGGGAACUAACUAAGAAAUGGAAAAUUCAGCAGAAGAGAGGCUACUUGCUGUUUGGUGUAGGUGUUAUCCGUAAUGUCUGUGUAUUUGUUCACCUUCAUCUUAGAAGACUCAAUUUCUUCAUAUUUGCUGCACCAUUCCAAAUAUGCAGCUCAGAGAAUAGUUUUACAUGAUAAACAAAAAGGGUAAACAAACAGUUCAGUCCCGUACGCAGCAAGGAGUAAUGCAGUGACACCCAGCAGUUGCAGCUUGUUCCGAGUAACGACAUUCAUUGUGAGGAAGCGGUCAACAUAUGAAACUGCAAGGUAAAGAGUUUCUGCCUGAAGCUUGAAUUCGUCAGCCACUUCUACCAACCAGUCCACAAGGACAGCCCUCAUUUUGGGGGAGAUGGCUUUCUGGAUCUUCUGAAAAUAGUCAGGACUUGGCCUCCUCAAUGGUUCAACCUAACAAUCUCAACAAAAUAAGAGAGUCACACCUAAAUGGCUAAAAUUCCGCAUCUCAAUUGAUCAAAGGACAAAAUCUCUUGCAUUUUGUUCAAAACAGUGCUAGUAAGUUCAGUAAAUUAAGAUGACACGGGUCCUGAAGCAGUCACAAACUGUAGGUGGGCUGAAACAUAAGCCAAGAUAAUGGAAUUUAGCUCCAAAGAGUCAUUUUCUUUUGUGAAGCCACAACCUGUCGACCUACACUCCAGAGUCCAGUCUGGGACACUUAUCAUAGCUGCAUUAGCAAUCCUAGUUAACCACUUACCUAGCCAGCAGCAGCUAAAGCCUAAAACUAGACAAAAUGAACAUUUCACUCCAAUGAAAUUAAAAUCACAUAUUGCCCAAUCAAAUCAAAGUAUCAAACCGACCAAAUCUGAGCACUCAAGGCUACAGCAUGAUCACGCCUCCUCAAAUGCCUCCAUCACAUCAGCUAGCAUCACACAUUCACAGCCCUAAUCAACCAAAUCCAAGCACCAAAUACGCCCACGCGCAAGCUCCCCGGUCUCAGGGGGAACAAAAGGUACUAGUCGAGAAACCCUCACCUCCAACGACCGGAGGUACCGGUCGAUGUCCGCGUGGUACGGCGCAACGGCCGCCUGCGCCGCGCCUGCGUCCUGCCGCUUCGGGUCCAGAAGGCGGGCCACACCGGCCCCGCGCGCGGCGUCCCCAUCCUCCCGCCGCUUCCUCGCAUCCUCCGCCUCGGCCUCCGCCCGCGCCGCCGACCGCGUCCUCGGCUUCGACGGCCGCGGCGCCGAGCCGCCAUCCGUGUCCCGCCAUUCGUUGAUCGGCAGCUCCACCAGGGCCUUGCGCUUCCCUUGCGACCGCCGAAGAGGCGGCGCCGAGUGCGCGGCGUUCUCCUUGCUCUCCAUCACCUCCGGCUCCGGCUCCGGCUCCUGACGCUGCUGCCGGUGGCGAUGGCCGCCCGGAUCCGUUCCGCCGGUCGCCUUGGGUCUCCGCUGGGGUUUGGGGGGUUUUGGUCCGGGCGAAUGAACGAAUGAGGCGGCGUUCGUUCCGGGGAAGCUUGAUGCGGUUUGAAUUUUGGGGAUGGGCUUAUGGCGGGCACGGGGCAUCCGCAGGCCGAAAUGCGCCAAUGCGCCAUGUUCACCAUGACACACACACGGGGGACGUAGCGGUGUCACUGACUCGUUGGGCCCACAUGAAGCAAAUAGGAAACGCGAAAGUUCUGGAGAGGUCCUACAGUUUUUCCAGCCGGGAAUCCCGAUUCCUGAUCGCACAGGCGAUCGAAGGAAUACUGGUUCUAGUUCCUAUGAAAUUUUUUGAAGAUUAUAGUUCUAUGAGAAAAUUUCGUAUGUGAAUUUUUGGAACAAAGGAAUUUAUCUAUGAAACUAUCUCAAAAUUCAUAUGGAACAUGAAGCUAUAUGAAAUUUGGAGGAAACGGAACAUGAGGCUGGACUUUAUGGGAACUUCCCUUUGGAUUCACGCGUCUUUACUGUGUUGCAUCCAUAGGUUACUUUAGAAACUUUUCUGCAUUUUGAAUUCAUAUAGCACUGCAAGUUUGUUGCACCCCCAUUCCUGUAUUUUCUUUUCUAUUCAUACUAUGCUUUUAGAAUACUGUAUUCCAAAGGGACCUAGAAUACUUCUUCAGAUUUGUGCACACUCAUACGAUACAUGUCGGACUCUACAUGUCGUACAAGAUAACGUGUUGCCGUGUCCCGCGUGCAUCCCAUACGAACGAGAUGAAGGCCGCGGAGAAGAUGGAGAAGUGCAUGAACAGCAAUGCUGCUGCGUCGGCCUCACCCGCACGUAUCCAGAGCUUGCAAAACUGCCGUGGCACGACCGCACGAGGGGCGUCGACGCGUCGUUCGACGAGCAAGAACAAUAAUGAACCCAACCUAUCGGUUCCCCGACCUGAAGAGACGCCGCGGCCAGCAGAAAGGGCGGAGCCUGCUCGUCUUCCACCUCCUCCGAUUCCCGGAGCAGAGUCAGACAGCCAGCAAUCACCUCGCCAUCAUCAGUUAAAUAUAUACAAGAACACAUCAGUUAAAUAUAUACAAGAACCCAAUAAUCGCCAUGCCCAAGACGAUCCGGUACGACGCCCACAAGGAGCACCCGCUGGUGCUCGUCGACAUCGGCGGGAGCAGCGGCGGCAAUGGCCGCAGCUUCACGUGCGAUGGCUGCGGCUGCCGGGGCGCCGGCCCCCGCUACCGCUGCGGCGCGUGCGACUUCGACCUGCACGAGCUCUGCGCGACGGCCCCCGGGACCGCGUGGUUCUUCUUCCACGGCCAGCACCCGCUAGCCCUCGAGCUGGCCGUCGAGGACGGCGGCGACGGCAGCCCUCGCCACUGCGACAUCUGCGAGAUGGACAUCCACGGCAUGCACUACCGUUGCCGGCCCUGCGGCUUCGACGCGCACCCCGUCUGCUUGCAGCUGCCCGGCGCCGCCGUCUCGCCGCUGCACCCGGAGCACCUCGUGAUGCUCAGCGUGGGCGGCCCCGAGGAGUGCACGCGCUGCGGCGCCGACUGCGUGUGGCGAUACCGCUGCGGCGUGUGCGACGUCAACCUCCACCCGAGAUGCCUGCUGGGCACUGAUGAGACGCCGCUCAACAUCCCCAGGAGCAACUAGAUCCAUAAGAACCAUGAGUUCUCAAUGUUAAUAGGAUAAGGUGUAGGAUGACCGGUUCCUUCGGUCAGUUAGAUCUUGACAUAGUCUUUCGGCUACCACGACGUCCGUUAUUGAUGGACGUGAAUGGUAUGCUUGUACGUGUAUAAAACACACCUGAAAUGAUCAAUACAAUAUGUCGAUUGCCUCUCUCCCUCUUUCAUGGUAUCAGCUUAACCUUCGAUCAUAUUCUUGCGCUGCUCUUUCUGCAACAAUGGCUCACAGCCCUUCUUCCUCCUCCGGCGCCUCCACCGUGGGUGCCCAAGAUCUCAACCCCUUCCACGUUGCUGCACCCAUGCCGAUAGCCGCCUCCACAGUUCAACUUGUGAACAUCCGUUCCCAUGUGCCUGAGACAACUCCAACUACUCCGCCUAGAGCUCCUUCUUCGAACUGACCUUCCGCAAGUUCGGCAUCAUUGACCACGUCGACGGCACGGUUGACGCCCAACUCCACCUCCACGAUGUCGAGUGGACGCAGAUCGACCACUACAUCAUCUUCUGGAUCUACCUCACCAUCUCCAAGGGCAUCCGCGACAUGGUGUUCCAGCGCCGACUCCCUCUAGGUGGCGGUGCACGGCCUCUUCCUCAAAAACACCAUGCAGAGCGCCGUCUAUGUGCUACAGGACUUCCACAGUCUGUAUCAAGGUGAGCUUAGCAUCACCGAUUACUACUGCCAGCUCAAGAAGUUGGCCGACACGCUAGGCGAUGUCGGCCAUCCCAUUAGCGAUCAAGCUCUCGUCGUCAACACCUUGCGCAGCCUCAACUCCAAGUUCAGCUCCGCCAUCAACGUCCUCCGCACCAUCAACAACCCUCCUCCGACCUUCCUCUAUGUGCGCUCCUACUUGAUCCAGGAGGAAACGCGCAUUGAGUGCACCCACAAGAUGGAGGCAGCCACGGCUCUUCUCGCUGCCGGUUCCACUACUCCCACCGGCACGCCGUCUAAGCCGCCGUCCUCGACGUCGACAACGCCACACAGCUACUCCCCCACCAAAGGUGGCGGCGACCAUAAGAAGAAGCGCAAGCAGGGUGACGACCGUGGCUGCGGCACAUCCACGCCGUCGACAGGAACACAGGCGCCGAUGCAGUGGAACCACGCCAACAACCCAUGGACAGGCGUUGUCCAGGCAUGGCCCAUGCCGCAAUGGCGCACCACAGGCGUUCUCGGCGCCCGUCCCGGUGGUAGUGGCAGUGGAUCCCAUGCCCUGAUGGUGUCUGGCAACACAUCAGCUCCACCUAACAACAACGUCGUGCACGAUCUUCUCACCGCACUCCAUGGCCAACAGUUCAACUCCAACAACUACAACGGUGGCGGCGACACCGGCCCAUCUUCUCAUGUGGCAACACACCCUGGUAUUCCUCACAACCGUCCGCUCUCUCACAAUUCUUCUCAUAUUAUUGUCAGCAAUGGCGCACCUCUUCCUGUCACUCACACCGGUCACAUCUCCAUUCACACGCCUAAGAACCCAAUUCAACUUAAAAAUGUUGUUGUUUGCCCCUCUUUGAUAAAGAAUCUAGUCUCAGUUAGAUCUCUAACUCGUGAUAAUAAUGUGGAAUUUGACACUUUUCGAUUCUCUAUCAAGGAUCUGCAAACGAGGACGGUGCUCCUCCGAUGUGGUUCUGCUGGCGACCUCUAUCCACUCCGCCCCAGCACUGGCAACCACACCAACCACAACCUUCAUGUUGACAACACAUCCGCGCUCUGGCAUGCUUGCCUCAGCCAUCUGGGCAAUGCCCCCCUCUCUAGUUUACUUGGCAAUUUCAAUUUCUCUUGCUCAUGAACGGAGGACCACACGUGCCAUGCCUGCCGUCUUGGCAAGCACGUGCGUCUCCCGUUCACCAGCUCAAAUAAUGUUGCACCUUCACCUUUUGAUUUGCUUCACUGCGAUCUAUGGACCUCGCCUAUUUUAAGCAAUUUUGGAUAUCGAUUUUACCUUGUCAUUCUCGAUGAUCAUACUCAUUUUGCUUGGACGUUUCCGUUACGGCACAAGUCUGAUGGUUUGCCCACUAUACUAUGCUUUCAUGCUUAUGUCAAAAUACAAUUCAAAGCUAACAUCCGCAGCCUUCAAACCGACAAUGGCAAGGAGUUUGAUAACCACGACCUAAGCUCGUUUCUCUCUACACACGGUAUCAUCCUGCGCCUCACGUGCCCAUACACUUCGCAGCAGAACGGCCGUGCUGAGCAGGUCCUCCGCACACUCAACGACAGCGUCCGCGCACUCCUCUUCCACGGUGGCGUUCCCCCAACGUUCUGGCCUGACGCGCUCGCCACAGCCACAUACACGCUGAACUGCCACCCCUGUCGGCCACGCAACAACGCCACUCCCUACGAGCUUCUCUAUGGGCACGCUCCCACCUACGAUCAUCUGCACAUAUUUGGGUGCUUGUGCUACCCAAACUUGGCCGCCACUACUGCACACAAGCUCGCGCCACGCUCCGUCGCUUGCGUGUUCUUGGGCUACCCUGCGGACACGAAGGGCUAUCGCUACUAUAAUCCCACGACCCGCCGCGUCAUCGUGUCUCGGCAUGUCUACUUCGAUGAGCAGCAGUUUCCUUGCAGGACCACGGCGCCUCCAGCUCCCACUCCUCCAGCGGCUCUGCCCAUCUUGGAGCUCGUUCCAGCACCACCUCCGACUCGUCACAUUCCAACGCGCUGGGCACAUGUGCCUAUCGCCCAGGGGCCAUCCUCGACACCAGAGUCCUCAGCACCUGCGGCACAAGCGACUCUGGCUACAUCGUCCUUAGCACCUACGGUACCAGCGACCACCACAUCGCCCUCGACAAUGACGCCGCCGAAGUCCACGACCUCACCAGCGCCGAUGAUGCCCACCACCUCAACACUGCCGGCGACACCAUCAGCAUCGCCGGCAGCUCUCGCGAGCAACCCGACCGCUGCAACACCAUCCACAACGUCACCCAUGGUGUCUGGAGUGCCGUCCACCUCGACACCUACAGCAACGACCACAUCGUCAACUACGCAGCAGCCUCUUCACCACAUGACGACGCGUGUCAGGGCAGGGAUCUUCAUGCCCAAUCCUCGGUACGCUCAGGCUGCCAUGACGGUGGACGAUCACGCUGUGCCCUCCAGUGUCCGUGCGCCUUGCGUGAUUCAGCAUGGCGCGACGCGAUGCAAGAAGAAGUUGAUUCUCUUCAUAGGAACAACACGUGGACCCUCGUUCCAUGACCAAGCAAUGCGCCCAUCAUCACCAGCAAGUAGAUAUUCAAGAACAAGCUCCUUCCCGACGGUACAUUGGAACGACGAAAGGCUCGGUGGGUGGUACAUGGUUUCAACCAACGCCCCGGCAUCGACUUCAAUCAGACAUUCUCUCCCAUCAUCAAGCUUGCGACCAUUCGAACCGUCCUCACCCUCGUCGCCUCUCACCGGUGGCCUAUACAUCAGCUAGAUGUCAAGAACGCGUUCUUGCACGGCAAACUACAGGAACGUGUAUAUUGUCAACAUCCCACCGGGUUCAUCGACGAUCGCUAGCUCGACUACGUCUGUCUUCUCACGAAGUCCCUGUACGGCCUCCGUCAAGCACCGCGUGCAUGGUACCAACGAUUUGCUGGGCAUCUUCGUAGCCUCAGCUUUGUCUCCACGGGCUCGCUCUUCGUGUUUCACCAUGGCAACGACACGGCGUGGCUACUGCUUUACAUAGAUGAUAUCCUCCUCACGACGUCCUCGACAACACUUCUACAGUCCAGCAUUAAUCAACUUCACAGCUCGUUCGCCAUGAAGGACCUCGGCCCCGUACACUACUUCCUCAACAUCCAAGUCUAGCACACUGCCGAUGGCUUCUUCCUCCAUCAGCAGUAGUACGCGGAUGACAUUCGAAGAUGCCACGUUCUACCGGAGCAUCACCGGAGCCCUGCAAUACCUGACGUUGACCCGACCAGAGCUGGCCUACACCGUGUAGUAGGCGUGCCUGCACAUGCACGUGCCAAGGGACAUCCACUGGAACUUGAUCAAGCGCAUACUACGGUACGUCUACGGUACUACUCGGCAUGGCGUGCGUCUACGCGGCUCCUCGUCCACGGCGCUGACAGCGUACACCGACACGGAUUGGGUCGGCUGCCCGGACACACAGCGUUCGACGUCGGGUUUCUGAGUCUUCGUCAGAGACUCACUGAUCUCAUGGUCAUCCAAGAGGCAAGCCAUCAUCUCACACUCCAGUGCCUAAGCCGAGUAUCGAGGUGUGGCCAAUGCGGCUGCAGAGUGUUGCUGGUUGCGUAAUCUCUUGCGUGAGCUGCACUUACCCGUCAACAAGGCAAGCAUCAUCUUCUGCGACAAUGUCUCCGCCGUAUACCUCACAGAGAAUCCGGUGCACCAUCGCAGGACCAAACAUGUGGAACUCGAUAUCCACUUUGUUCGCAAGAAGACAACGCAUGGACAACUGCUUGUUCUUCAUGUACCAACCAAGCACCAGUUUGCAAAUAUAAUGAUGAAGGGUCUUCCAACGGCGCUAUUUGAAGAUUUCCAAGAUAGUCUGUGCAUCAAAUCAGCCGAUGUACUGGCUGAGGGGGGGUGUUAUAAGGUAGCAUGACCGGUUCCUUCGAUCAGUUAGAUCUUGGCCUAGUCUUUCAGCUGCCAUGAUGCCCGUUACUAACGGACGUGCAUGGUGUGCUUGUACGUGUAUAAAACACACCUUGGAUAAUCAAUACAAUCUAUCGAUUGCCUCUCUCCCUCUUUCACUCAAAAGUACGCAUGCUAAGAAAAGUUUUCCGAGUGUUUUCCUACGUGGUUUGGUCUUGCAGCUCUUUGUUUCCACGUCACAAGAGAUAUUCAUCUAAUUCUACAUGCAGCACAUUAAGACCCAUUAUCAUGUUCCAAUACUUCGCAUAUCAGUAUGACACUAGAAUGCACCUCCAUGGAAUGGAUUUUUUUUUUUUGGUGUGUGUGUGUGUGGGUGGGUGGGUGGGGGGGGGGGGGAUCUAUGAUAGACAAUAUGGAACAUAUAUAGAAGAUAUACUGAAUUGUGUCAUUGUUAGCUUGACAGCAGCUAUGAAAGCAACAUGACCAAGUGUGGACGCGCAAGAUAAAUCUGUAGCUUGAAACUUUCAGGGAACACAUCAGAGUACAGAACUAAGGAAAAUCCAAUAAUGUAUUCACCUCGUAAACAAAAUUUAUCAUCACUAAUUCAUGGUCGUCAUCGUCCAAAUGUAUAUGCUAAUCUGCUCUCAAUAUAUCAAUAUCAGCUCCAUCACCAUUACUGUGCCUGCUUUCAGCUGCGUGAUGGAGCUUUUGGCAAUCUUCAGGUGCCAGCCGACCAAAUCUUGCCAUCUUUUCAGUUAACCUGGCAAUAGAUUCUUCCUGUUUGGCAAGCUGCAUAAGUAUCUUUAUCCUUCUAAAUGCAACAUUGCUGGGCUUUUGCCCCAGCUCAACCAUUUGAUGGAAGCACCUCUCCGCAUCCUCCAACUUCCCCUCAUCGCACAGCAAGUCAAAUAGCACAUCUGAUACCAAGGUGAAUGAUCCAAACCCAUUGCUAACCAUAUCACUCCACAGCUCAAGUGCUUGAGCCACCUCCCCAUGCCGACGGCACAGCCUUAUGAUGAACAUGCAAGAUUGUGUGUUUAGGAAGCAUCCUUCAGACCGCAUCCGCUCAUACAACCGCCAUGCGCUGCCAAUAUCGUACGCCCAGUAAUAGCACCUGAAGAAAAGGUUAUAAGUCGUGGGAUUCGGCUUCAGUCCCUUUGAGGCCAUUUCAUCCAUCAGGGCAAACGCAUCACCAAGUCUCUUUGCUAUAACAAAGUUCCGUAUUGCAGCGUUGUAUGCAGGGAUGUCUGGGUAGCACCCGAGUUCAUGCAUCUCCUUCAGCAAGUCCUUUGCCUUGUCAGGUUGGCCAAUCAACCCCAGCCCACCAAUCAGGCUCGUGUAAGUGAUCACAUCAGGGGAAAUGUCCUUCUCCCGCAUUUCGUCGAGCAGCUUGUAGGCCUUCUCCACGUCCUUGUUCUUGCAAUGGCAAUCGAUCAAGCUGUUAUAGGUCACCAGGUCGGGCUCCACCCCAAGCUCCCGCAUCUCGGCAACGAACGCCUCGGCGUCCUCGGCCGACUUCCAGCCGGAGAGCAGGAUGUUGAAGGUCUGGCGGUUCACCUGGAACUCGUAUUUGAGCGCGUGGUAGACAUUGCGCGCGUCGGACAUGCUCUUCUCCUGGCAGAGCGUGCGGAGCAGCGCAUUGAAGAGGCCGGUCGUGUCGGCGCGCCGGAACAUCCGCGCGAGGCGGCGGAAGGAGUCGACGGUCUCGCGGACGGAGCAGACCUUGGCGACGCGGCCGAGGACGACCAUGGCGGUGCGCGGGGAGACGGCGUUCGGGCAGAUGCGACGGGUGGAGUCGAGGAGGUCCCACAUAUGCGCGAACCGGCGGGACCGGCCGAGCACGUAGAGCGCGGUGUCGAUCGUGAAGGGCGAGGGCGCGUCGGCGGCGAGGGAGAGGAGAGAGAGAGCGCGGAGCGGGUCCCCGUGCGCGAAGCGGAAGCGGCGCAUGACGGCGUCGAGGAGCGGGGGCGUGAGCGGGACGGCGGAGGCCGCGAGCGCGGACUCCAUCGCGGACGGCGUGGGCGCGGACGUGACGAUGCGGUACACCGCGUCGGCGUCGGCAUCGGACGCGGGGGCGGCGGCGGUGGAGGUGGCCUCGGGUGCCGCGGACGGCGCCGCUGGCUUGCGGGGCUUGGAGACGUAUCGGAAGAGCCGUGGCGCGGGUUUGGGUGGCAUUUUGCGCGAGGCGGCCGGCGAUUGGGCAGGCGUCGUCGCGUCGCAGGGGCGGAGCGGCUUCAGCGGCUGCCGGCUGGGAAAGGGAGAACUGAGGACGAGCAGCUAGAUCUCGUAAUGGGCCUGUAUUCGCUGCGUUUCUUUUGGGCCUGUUUAUGGGUCAAAUUCUGCCGGGCUUUGCGCGUAUCAGUGUAUGGGCGGAAAAGCGUAGAGUUGGGGUAGCAGACAAGGAGACAACGAAAGGCAAGUGCAAAGCGGCCAUUUUGCAGUCCAUCUCGAAACCUCCUAUGUCCAACAGUUUUAAGUUGCAAUGCUUGAAACCAGAUGACGCUUCCCAUGCAACAUUGACCCUCUCCGCAUUGUGCGCAUAGCCAUUCCAUCCACACACAUGGCGGGAUACAUGUAAAAGAAAAAAGGCAAUGCCACGUGUCAUACACAGAAAGUAACUGAUAGAUCCAGUACUACGCAGUGGGGGGAAUAACUACGUGUUGCUGCGAAAGAAGAGGUGUUUACAGUGAGGAAGAAAUUCUUCAGAAAGGGCGCGGCUUCAAGGAGAUAGACAGUCCACUCAAGGUCGCAUUCAGCAAAGAUGUUGGAGAGAUACAAAUCCGUCAGGUUGCCAAAGACAGGUUGGACCAGCUUGGGGUCUUCCGGUUUAAUCCAAAUCUGAAACAAGCAAUCAGCAAAAAAUUGAAAUGGCACAAAUUGAACAACCGUGACGCCCAGCCUAUUGAAUCAGGGGCAAAUUAAAAAAGGAGGAAUCCAAGCAUUCAUACCAUAUAAUCUUGGAAGUCUAAUCUGACAGUUUCCAGCCUCGUGCCCGACAGCCAGUCGCUCAGCAUGAACGGUGGCUGCCAAUUCAUGGCAGCACAGCCAAAAUCAAUGCCCCGAAGGCUUGGGACGUGGCCGAAAACAACCGGAGGGCUUUCACGCGUCCAGGUAUCGUAAACACACACGCACGAGCUUAGGGACCCGGACGAGCUCGAUUCGCACGUAGCUGCAGAAUUCAAACACCAAUUCCAUCAGCCGAGACCGUGGCGCGUCGAUCCGCAGAACGGAUGGCCGGCCAGAAUCGCAGGAAUUCAGCAGAUUCGGCACAUCGGGCUCGUCGAAUCUCAUGUUCCGAACAGAGAGGCUUCUAAGACAUCUGAACGCGUAGGGGUAAGAGCCGAAGAACCUGCAGGUCCUGUAGCUCCGUCACCACGAUGAACUCGAGGAACUUGGUGUUCCCACGCUCGAGGACGCUGGUCACCGUGGAGCCAAUGGAUUCCAAGUGGGGAUCGGUCAGGCAGAAACGGAGGCGCAAGAGGUUGAUGGAUCGAUCAGCCGUGGGAGCCAACAACCUCUUUGUCGUUUCGGUGUAGAGAUCCACCAGAUCGUUGAGUUGGCUCGUCGCUGAAGUCUCUGUUCGGGGUUUGAAUCCGUCGACAUGAAUGUAAAGGUUUGUGAGCAGAUAAGGAAGCUGCUUCCUCCGCGUCGAGAGGGUGCUGGCCCUCAUCAGAGUUCUCAAGUCAAGGCGGUGCAUGAUAUCGACAAGAAUAUGGUCGGGGAGCGCGCUGAGCCUAUCGUCAUCUUCGGUUCCGUUUUUCUAGUGGCGCAAAGAAAAGAUAACAGAAACAUUUAGGGCAUUAUACAAACAAUUAGAACAUUGUACAAAAAAAAUUAUAAGAAAAACAGAAACAAUUAGGGGAAGAGGACGUGAACCCCAAAAAAAGAACUAUAUUUGGCGUGUUAGGAUUUUGUAAUUGAUCGGUUCGAAAACGUUGCAGCCAAAUGCGAGGGUGAGCCUUGGUAAAAAUUCGAGAGAAGGUAGGGGGACUUACAUUGUUGUGCGAUGGAGACGCCAUGAUAAGAGGCAAAAGUAACAAAAUAAUUCGUAGGAUCCGAAGCAGUACGAAUAAAACCGAUUACGUUCGGUGGUGCUUUAUACUAUUGGCCUUGAGGCCACAAGCACAAUAUUAGGCCUCUAAAUCAGCCCACGGAAACACCUCUAAAACAGCCAACGGAAACUCGGAAACGUAUCUGAGAACAACGAAGGUUGAUUAUCUAUCGGAUCGGAAGAAAGUUUGUAGCGAACAAGGAUUCGAAGUGCAGCCGACGAUGUGCAGUCGAGUUGCUGCAAGGCGCCGACGAUGUGCAGGAAAGAGUUGGUGAGCCUGACGGUGCAGACGAACAUCAACCUCCCCAUUCCUGUGUUUUCAAUAAUAUCAGCCUCAAGCUUACAAAGGAAAUUAACAAACUGUGAAUCAACAAUUGCUGAGAGGGCAGAGUCUUUGUCUCAUCCUUCCUAAAUCUCUUGGAAACCUGGCAUGCCAUUUGAGCUUGAUCAAAGGCAUAACCGGUCCCUCUCACAGCUAGCACCUAGAACCGCAGCAGCCAGUCCACUAACACAAGCAGAAUUGUGUUGUACUGUUGUUCGGAUGCACUGCUGAUUCCGAAAGGCAAUGGACAAUUCAACAUCUUUAAACAAUCGAAAAGCCACACAAUGAGUUGCUGAAUACAGGUUGUGUUCUCUAUCAACUAAUGCGAAUAUGCAAUGGCAAAUCCAAAUGUUUCAGAUUGGACUUCAUUGGUAGGAUACGGAUCAAGCAUUUCUUACAUAUACAUCCACAAAAUAAAGGAUUUCUUAUAUAGCAGAAUACUACCUACUUACGAAUUUCAUGUCACAAGCACCUAAGACUUCAAUCACCACAGUACCACACGCAGAUAACGAAGCAUUCAAUCAGACAAGCAACAAAAGAGCAUAAAGGUAGCAACAUCUAACUGUAGUUUAUAAAUCGCUUAAGAUUUCAUUGGCGCGAGAAUAUAAAUCAUGAUCCAUCACAGGCAGACCAAAACACUUCAGAAUUUAGGGCAAAACAGAUAGGUUCAAGACUAAAUUGCCACAACAGCAACCACUGAUCUAAAACAAGUUUGACAUAGUAGCAUGAUAACGACGAGAGGAGAUACGCGAUCAAGAGGCAACCACUGCAACCCGGCCG
Molecule: long non-coding RNA, 74392 nt
Filed under: Setaria viridis
Lineage: Eukaryota; Viridiplantae; Streptophyta; Magnoliopsida; Poales; Poaceae
Description: long non-coding RNA (SVIR_LNC011395)
Source: RNAcentral